UUCUUUUUUUGUGCCUACCUGUGCAUAGAUCUCGUUUGUUCUUGUUGCCUACUCCCGUAUUUGAGAUUGCCGGUUGUCUGCCUGCAUGUUGCUCGGCGUUUAGCUCGUUCGGGAGAUGAUCAAGUUGAUGAUGGCGGAUCGAACGUGGAGGACAACCAACGUCCUCUCCAGCGGUUUCCAUGCGGUAUUAAUGGCUUCUAAAUCCUACAGAAUGACUCUCGCAGUUCUAUUAAUAUCUAUGUCUUCCAUUCCCUAUUAAAAUAAGUGUGAGCCAGGCAACCAAACCUGUCGCAUUAUUACAUAACUUUUCCUUUUUUUAUUUUCUGUACUAAACUAAGUAUGAGCCAGGCAACCAAACCUGUCGCAUUACCGAAUAUGGCUGACAUCUUAAAAGGGUGCGCUAAAGACAGCACGUAAAUCCUGUCAAACCACUAAAUGCUAACUUACUGCUUGUAGGCAGCUCAGUGUUGUUAGAUGAGAACAAGAUAAAAGUUGGAUACCAGGCUUUUAUUUAAGUUUAUCCAAGCUGGUCGUGAAUAUUUGAAGGGCAAAAUCUAUGUUUCAUUAGUUAUUUGUUCAUCCCAUGAUGCAGAUGUCGAGAGACAUUCUUCCAUUGUCUAAAACAAUGCUUCAUUAGAUUGUUCAUGUGCACAUGGUAAUGUUUUAGAUAAACAUAAAUCAGUUCUUUCUACUUCAGUUAACUGUUGUUGCUUAACCUGACUCUUUGAUAUGUUUCUAUUGCUAUCUGUUGCUCCUUCUAUUUACUUGGAAUCCUUAUUUGUAUCAGGGUGCCCAAACUACGUGUGCUAGUGAGCUUGUUUCUUCUUUAUCUUGGGAAAUUCUCUUGCAAAGGGUCAGUAACUCGGUAUAAAGGAAGUCUUUUUUAUGAUGAAUGAUAUCUGUGUUGCAUUUUCUUGACAUCAAUUGUUGUUUUCAGAUUGGGGAUUUACUCAUGUGCUAUAUUCUAAGGCAUUCAUCAAUAUUUGUGCCUGUUAAGAAGGACGGUUUUUUUCAAGUAACUGGCCUCCCACUCAAUGUUUUCCUGCAAAAGCCUAUGUUUGCGGAUAUGACAAAAAAUCAACAACCCCAAUCCACGAAAGGAAAAUACUUGGUAAGAAAUUAUGUUCAGCUGUUCUAAAGAUUACAUUCAAAUCUUUUGUAACACUUCCAAAAUAAAUUAAUGAACUUAUGCCUCAAUAGCUCUGACUUUGCUGUAGGAAAUCCUAUGUUUCUCUUGAAUAGUCCUUGGAAUAUUAUUGUUGUUUUAGCUGAUUCCUUGUCUUUGUGACCUCAGUGCUAUCUGUGCCAGAUGUCACAAAACAUAUCUGGAGGCCAUGUCAACAAUUCAAAAGUUGCAUUCCCUUCUCCAGAUACCAGCACUUGGAAAUUUGAUAAUCCAAAAAGCUCUGGAAGUUAUGGUUCUGCAAAAUUUACAGAACCCAAUUGUUUAAUUGAGGAAUGUAAUCGCUCAGAACUUCCUUUCACUAAUGGAUCAAUAAAGUGUUCCAGUUUAGAUUAUCAGAAUCCUAGGAAAAGAAAACGGCUGUACAGUUGGCAACGCCACAACAAACAGAAGCAGAUUUGUUCUGAGGACAGGUUGUCAACUGGGGGGAGUAAAAUAAACAUCAGUCGAGUUGGUGUCCAUGAUGUAUUACUGGAGGACUUGGGUGCUACGGUGAAUGAUAAAGUGCAGUUUUUGGAACCAACAGUAGAUAAUGAUUAUUUAGCAAAGAGCAGUGAUGUGACUCAUUCACAUGCUAAAGAGCCAUAUGGUGUAUUGUCCUAUGAAAAAUCACCAAGUUCUGUGUUUGAUGUUAGACCUUCCCAGUGUAACAAUACAUCGAAAAUUCAAUCUACAUUCCCUCAAGUUGGACUUCCCAAUUUCAUGCAUCUCAAUGUCAGUAAUCUACCAAUCUUGUCAGAAAUUAUUAUUUCAUUCCACAAUUAGAUCUUUGACUAUUAUUUCUACAACCUGGUCUGUUUAUGUACACAUGACUAUGUUUUUAAUUAGAAGUAUUAGCUUGAUUCAUACUUGACUAUCAUGUGGGAGUGAACAAGAGUAUGCAAGAAACAGGCCCAUGCCUUGUGACUAGCACAUUUAAACUGUGUCCCAAAAACAUAUCUUGCUUGAGUAAGUUUGAGUUACUCAUCCACAAAUCGGGGAUUAGUUAUGUUAAUUUUCCCUUUUUGGAUGACUGGAUCAGUUUAUUUAUACCUUUUACACUAACCUAUGACUGGAUCAGUUUAUUUGUACCUUUUACACUAACCUGAGGAUAUGGCAACAUAUUCUAGGAAGCAGUACAUAUUUGUUUCCUGGUUUUACUUCUACCUUUUACUUUACCUGAGGAUAUGAAAUCAUAUUCUAGGGAGCACUAUAGAUUUGUUUCCUGUUUUUCUGUAGCCACCUUCCUCAGCACAUGGUGGUUGCUAUGUUUUCUUAGAAUCCACAAAUGAAUAACUGUUAACGUUCAUACUGUUAGAUUUAUAUGUAUUGUAUUUUCCCUCUACUUGGAGGGGUUUUAUGCAUAUGUGUACACAUGUGUACAUUUGUGGAUGAGUAGGCCACAUUCUAACACAUACAUGUUUUGGUUCUUUGGUCGAUAGCUUGCAGCAUACUCCCUCCAUCCACAAAUAAAUGCAUGUCUCGUUUCCCAAGGAGUCAAACCUUUUUAAGUUUGACCAAAUAUAUAUAAAAAUAUACUAAUAUUUAUCAUAUGUAAUAUGUAUCAUUAGAUUGAGCAUGAAAUAUAGUUUCAUCAUAUACUUAUUUGCAAAUACAAAUGUUGAUAUUAUUUGAUAUAUUUUCUAGUCAAAUUUAAAAAAAUUUGACUUCUUAAAAAGCGAUAUGUGCAUUUAUUUAUGGACGGAGGCAGUACAAAUCACCAUUCAAUCUUUUGGUGAAUGUGUACAGUACUUCUGCAACUUUGCAGCAUACAAAUCUUUUCAGUAGCUUGCAUAUAUUGCUUGUCCUUAUCAGUUUUUUCAGUGUUGCAUAUUUGCAUUGAGUAUUCUUGAAAAUUAAGAGAACUGAGCAAUUUAAUAUCUUAUUCAUGAUAUCAUGAAUCAAUAAAACAAUUAAUGUUUGUGUUAUAUCUUUGACUUACAGAAUGGUCCCAUUUGCUUCAAUUGCUUAAUGUUGAAUUCUUCCAAAUGUGUAUCAGUGGAUUUGCUUAUAUCAAGACAUGCUAUCUUCUACAACAGAAGGACUUCCUACAACAUCUUCCAUGGCAACCGUAUCCUUAUCUACUUUAUGUGCUGGCUUACACAUGUAGCAUAUGUUGAUAGUGUCUCUUUUCUGGUAAUAAUUUGAAUAGUUUUAAAAUGAAAAAAAGCCAAGUUACUCAUACAAAAUGGCUGGGAUGUUGGAGCACGAGGCAAGGAGAAUCUGUGAUAUGGUUCCACUACUUUCUAGGUUGCAUUCUGUAAUAUCCCUGUUAGCAUUGGUGUUGUUGGUCCACAUGGCCCAGGUUGUAUACUUGUAUUGGUGUCUGGUGGUUUAGUACCUCCUUGGAUUAUAAUACUUGUUGUAGCUCCAAACAUAGUUACACAUUCAUUAGAGCUAUUGGUUUGCUUUGUACAUAGAUGAGACAUUCACAAAUUAGAUUUUUGUAACCACAUAGUUUUGUGAAUUCUGACAUUCAGAGUGAAAUACAACUCGAUAAACAAUGGAGCUGCAAAUUCUUUUUCUGCCUUUCCUACUGAAAAGAAGUUAAUCCAGGUAAUGGAUCAAAAGAGCAAUUUUUUUUGUAACUACACAUAUGGUCAAACAUCAUAUAGCCAAAAUUUUAAUGGUAUCAGUAUCACAGAACUACAAAAACUUGAUGCAGAUCAGCAGAAGUCUUUUAAUUAUCACAUUUGCUUGAAUGCAAGCUUAAUAACCAGAGCCCACAUUUCUAGUUUGAGCAAGCGCAGAACACUCCUUGUCCCCUUCAAUUGUUAGAUAAACAAAACAGUACAUGGAUAAAAAAAAAAUAAAGUGACACUGUAAGUACACAAGAACUCUUGCUGCAAAAUAAAUUUGGUCAAGGAUAAAGUGACCCAAGUUGUUGGACCCUUCCCCUGAACCUGCGCAAGCAGGAGCUACGUGCACUGGGGCUGCCAUUUUAUAAAAAUACCUGGCACAUUUGCACAUUAGUUACAGCCUUGCAUGUAGUAUUAGUUUAGAUAGGUUUUACCGUUUUAGCAACACAUAAGAGUUAAAUAUGAAGCGACACCAGUGAUUCAAUUUCAGGCGACAAGGUGUUGUAACUUAUAACUUGGGCAGAAAUGUUAGGCAAACUCAAGAGCUAAGAUAUGUGAUCGCAUCAUAAUGGUGAGAUGCUCCUGUAUCUUACAUAUGGACCUGAAUUCUUAGCUAAUGUCCAAACUAAAGUAGGUUUCUAUCAAAAGUCUACUCUUAUGUGUUAUGAUAAUGGAACAUUUGUAGCAUUGUGAUAUGGGUUAAAAAAAUACAGUUUUGUCACAUGUGUAGUUUCCUUUGAAUUUACUCAAUCUUAAAGUGUGUAAAUGUAGAACAUGACUAAUGCAGUGGUUAGACACCCAGUUGUGGUGCCAGCCAGCCAGGUCACCCUGAAUCUCGCAGAAAAAACAUUGCCUUUUUUGAGUAAAUGCUUUCAGAGUUAUAUGGGAUCAUGUCGUGGGCUUCUGUCAUUUGGCACCUUUCUUUACUCUUAGUGGCAAUGCUCUAGCCUCUAGGAAUGAUUCUGCCAAGGAUUGAGUUUUUUUCUUAAAGCAUGUAAAGGGUAUAUGAAUUUUUGUUUGUGUUUGUUUGGUAUAUGAUUUUCUUCUGCCCAAUGUGCUGAUUCUUGCAAUGUAGAUUUAGGAUUUGUGCGAUACCUCUAGGAGCAUAGAAGCACUAAUCAUGUUACAAUAAUAUUUUUUUCUUCCACCAGUUAACCUUUUAGCAACCCUGCUUUUAUGAUUUUUCAUACAGUAUUGUAUGUUAGUUUUCCUUAAUCAGUGCUGUUAGACAUAUUAAACAGAAGGAAAAGAUCAGAUGCAUUAUCUCUUAUAAUACAUAUAUUUGGAAUCAAGGGAUGCUGCACAAAUUUACUGAAACGUGACUGCCAUGUGUCUAGUACAACAAAUUCUAAUUGCUUGUGAGUCAAAUAUGUAACUAAGUAUAUUGUUAGUAAGGUUUAUUAAGUGAAGAAGCUUCCUAAUAUUUAACAUAAACAAGCUUUAGACUAAACGUGGAUAUUUCAUCAUUAAGCAAAAAUCCAUUCAAUGGAACAUUUCCAUUUGAUUGGCAAAGGUGGGUCCAGUACAUAGAUCCAUAAUGGAUUACACUCAUCACCAUAUGCUGCUCUAUGAACAUAUAAUGUAGGUUGAGUACUAAUCCAGACCAUGGAAACAGAUGAUGGCUACAUGGUAACGUUUGUUUCAUUAUUUUGUUUGCUAUAGUCUCUUUCUAUCAAAAGCAGAUAUUACUUAAAAAUAUCCUUUCAAGGCAGUAAGGUUUUUUGCUGAACCUUCAGAUCCAAAUAUACGUAUGUGUAAUUACUGCCAGUGCAAGGCGAUUAAAACAUCACAUUCUAGAUGUUGAUACAGCCAUUGUUGGAAUGCAUAAAUCAAUAGUUUUCUCCACUUAUGUUUUCAGCUUCAAUUUUUUCUAAUAACGCAUGUUCACAUACCUACUAGAACUCUAGAAGCUACGGGUGUUUACUCAUCCUUAUCUCUCCCAAUUAAGGAUCAUAUGUUUACAGGCUACACAUCCAUGUUUACUGAUCACUCUCUCUAAUGUCUUUUCUUAUUGACUUUAUUAAUGUAAAUUUCUAAGCUUUUUGUUGUCAGGUGCCUUUCACUGCCUAAACUAAUGAAUAAGCUCAUCAGAAAUUCUAAGCGCUGCCAGUAUAAGAAACUAUUUCUGAAGCAUUGUUCUGUCAAUUCCAAGGUACAUAUGAACAGAUGAACAUGUUGAACUGUUUUCAAUUAUGUAAGAAGCACUUGUUAGACAGCAGGGUGUGGCAUGGGCUGCACUUCCCAGCCUUUCUUGGGCCCUGCACUCGCACAUGAUUAGCAUAGAUAUCAUUGAGAUAUUUUAGGCAAGGAGUCGUUUCUGUUUCCAUAAGCCAAAUCCUAGGUCUUCCUUGCCUAUAUAUGUGUGUUAUCCAUCACCCUCAAUAAUCAAUCUAUUAUUCCCCGUGUCAAUACUUGUUUACAGCACCUAACAGAGAAGUUCAUUGUUACUCUGUCUUUUAUAAUUUGUUUCGUUGCAACACUUACCAUCCUAAAGUUCUUUGCCUUACCAAAAAUCUAUUAUGUUAUCUGAACUUUAUAUAUAGGAUUACAAAUCGUGAAAGACAUAAUAUGUUAGACUAAAUUGUAGUUUUUUUUAAAUUUCUGACUCUUAGAAAAAUCAUGGCUAUCCAAUACAAAUAUGAACGAGCAUGUUGGUUGUUGUAGCAUUGGAUAUUAGUUCUCAACUAUUAUGUUGCUUAACAAACCAAAACAAAUUGUUUAAUCUAGUGUGCAGUGUUCUACCUUUAGUUGCUAUAAUAUUUGACAUAUGUAUAUAUGUUGGUCAAAAAUGAUAAUAGACAUGUAUAAUGACAAACUAUAAUAUUUGACAUAUGUAUAUAUGUUGGUCAAAAAUGAUAAUUGACAUGUAUAAUGACAAACUAAUGAUUGAAGUAAUAUUCUUAACAGCGUGCAACUGAUGUUGCCAAGAAUUAUAAUGGCAAGACACAAUAUUUAGUUGAAGAGAAAUCGGAAUAUUAUGAUCAACCUUAUGUUCAGUUGGAGGCUUAUAAUACACAUCAGCAAGUAGUUUCCUUUAUUUGGGCAGUGUUGACACGAAUUAUACCCGAGCCGUUGCUAGGAAACUCUUGCAGCAAGAGAUCUUUAAGGAUAAACAUUUGGAAGUUUAUUAAGUUGCGUAGGUAUGAAAAAAAUUGCUUGAAAGAUUGUAUUGGUGAGCUGAAAGUAUCACAUUAUUCUUGGAUAUCAAAUAUUGAAUUAUCUGAUUGCUAUUGCUCUGAUCUAAUGAAGAAGGAAAUUUGGUUAUCAACUGGAUCUGACGAGGAGAAACUUCAGAAUCUACUACAUUGUUGGAUUAGCUGGAUGUUUUCUGAUAUUGUGAUACCAUUACUGAAGGCAUAUUUUUAUGUUACAGAACGAGAAUCAAGAAGAUAUGAUGUUUUCUAUUAUCCAAAGACAGUUUGGAAAGACUUAACUAGUACUGCUAUUGCUUCCUUAAACAAACAAAACCUAAGGAUUUUGCGUGGUACAUCCAGAAAAAAAGUAAGACAAUUAUGUUGUUCUUCAAGAGUGAGGUUUGUUCCAAAAGCAAAAGAUAUGAGACCAUUAGUAAAUCUCAAAGCUCAAUCAAAAAAUGUCCUCCUCAAUAAUUGUCAUCUGAUUAUAAAAAAAGUAAGGGAUGAGAAUCCAGACAAGUUUGGUUCUUCUGUUUUUGAUUACAAUAAUGUGCAUCAAAAUCUCUGGCAUUUUAUUUCUUCAGUAAGAAGUCACCUGAAGGAAAAAUUCAAGAUAUAUAUUGUUGUUGCCGAUGUAUCAAAGGCAUACGAUUGCAUUAAUCAUGAUAUGUUACUGAAAGUUGUGGAUGAUGCGUUGAAAUGUGAUGACUAUGUUUUGAGGAAAUGCAAAAAAGUAGUUUGCAACUGGUCUAAGAAUGCCCUCUACCGUUUUGAUUCAAAUGUUUCUAUCUCCAACGGUGAUGGUAUAUGUGAUUUCUCGAUUCAGUUAUCAUCAAGGGGUGGCAUUUUAGUUGACCAGGUACUAUAUCAUAACCCACAUACUGUGUUACAUAUACGUAUUAACAAAUUUUUAUGCAAACUUUUCAUUGGAAACUACUGAAAUGGAAUUAUAAUAUUCAUGACCUUGCUGUUUCUGUUCAUUCUUAUAACUACUGAAAUGGAAUUAUAAUAUUUAUGUCCUUACUGUUUCUGUUCAUUUAUCUGAGUAGAAUUCCAAAAAUAAUCACCAUCACCCAGAAGCGCAAAGUAUUAGAAGUGAAGGGGAAACAUGAUACUUUUUGGGCCCUAUGUUAGCUUAGUGAUGAUUGGCUGGUCGCAAACAAGUUCCUAAAAAUUACGGAAGGAAGUCCUUCAUGUAAAACAUGUUUGUUUGCAAUUGUAUCAAUUAGUUUUGUCCAUGUAAAACAGGUCUCUUCCUGUUAGGCUGUUACAUCCUAACAAUUUACAGAAUAAAAGGUUUGGUAAGUAAUAUGCGGCCUCAGAUGACAUGGUUUGCAACCCAAUAUAGAUUCUUAACUUAGAUAAGCCAUGUUAUGUAAACAUGCAAUAUAUGUGCAAAUUAGUAGACUUUCUUUAUUUAUAAAUGGUUUUAACAUUGCUAGGUGAACAACUAUAGAACUAUUGUGCAAAUCAGGAUUAUAGUAGUGUGCAACAGCUAUGGCAAAAAGACUGUAAAAGGAUUUUACAGCUUUACUUUCUUUUUGACUAACCUCCAAUAAUGCUAAUAAAACCACUAACAAAGUGCUAAGGAAACUUUUCCUGUCAGUAAAAUGGUUCUAGGAUGACUGCCUGUAAGUUGAUUAUAUAGUGAUCCUGUGACACCUUUCAUGCUAUAGUUGUGUAUUUGCUUGGUAAUUUGUUCAUUAACUAUAGUUUGAGUUAACCUUUUCUCUAUCCAAAAUUAGGGAAAAUUUAACAAGAUACAAAAGAAAGAGAUUCAGUGUUUCCUUUCGAAGCAAGUGAAUUGCAAUGUUUUGAAGAUUGGGCAAAACUUUUACUCACAACAAAUAGGCAUCAUUCAAGGAAACAAGUUAUCUCCCAAACUUUGUUCCCUGUACUUUGGUCAUCUUGAAAAUUCUGUGCUUUCGGAAUUUCUUCAUGAUAGCAAGAUUGAUUCAAAAAAGGACGUUUCAACACCUAAAAGUUUAUUAAUGAGGUUCAUUGAUGAUUUCAUAUUCAUAUCUUUCUCCAAGGAGCAUGCUCUAGAUUUUUUCAAUAGGAUAAGAAGAGGGUUUUCCGACUACAAUUGCUACAUGAAUGACAGAAAAUAUGGUUUCAACUUCGAGGUUGCAAAUAGUGAGCAUUGUUGUAAUAGGAUCUACAGGUCUGAUGAUGGAUUCUCUUUCAUACCAUGGAGUGGAUUGCUUAUUAAUUGUGAAACUUUGGAAAUUCAAGCUGAUUAUACAAGGUAUGCCUUUUGGUGUCGGGUUUAGUUGGUGAAUUCAAUACAUUAAUAAUAAGAUAUGGAGAUGAAUUUUACUAGUCCAUCUAAUUUGUGUCAAGAUACUCACUGAGUAGUUGUGGACUAGUGGCUGUUUCCUCUAAUCAAUAUCAACUUAAAACAGUUUGGUUUUGCCAUAUUUUCUGUUGAAAUCUUGGCUUUCCUUGAUGUGAUUUUUUUUAGUAAAGUCUGAUUUGCCUCCAUGAAUUAAAAAAAACCCUUAAGUUCAAAUACCAACAUAAGCCCCUCAACUUUCGAUACCGAACAGAUUACCCCUGCAAAAUAUUUCAUAGUCCCCUUAACUUUCAGUGACUAGCUCAUUGUUAAAUCAGAUUUGACUGUUCCUUUUUACCAGUUUGUGAACAAAAACAGUCUAUCCAUAAUAUCUUUGGACAACACAGCAUCAAACAAGUAUCUUUGACAACUAAUUUUCAUAGUAUUGUGUUGGUAAAAAGAAAUAAAGGUACAACACUAUUAUAUUACUUAACUUGCAUAUAUUAUAUUUUGGAACUUGCACACAAGAAAAAUUUAUUGAACACUAUUUUAACAUAUUAGUCUAUAUAUGGCAGUCAAUGUUUUGGAAAUUUGGCUGCUCAAAACAUAAAACAUCAUAUAUCUGAAUUAGGGCAGUGUUAACAGAAAAUCUAGGCAGUUCCGUGUCUGGUUAGAGAUGGCAUCGGGGAUUUCCCUGUCUGGUAUUGCCUCCCUGUCCCUGUCCCCAUCCCUGCGAGGCUAAAAAUUUCCCCAUCCCUGUUCCCGAUAAAACUCACGGGGGAUGUUUUCUUCCCAUCCCCGCCCCCUUUGGUAAAGGAGUCCUGGUCAUUUUUCUUAACCUUUUGCCUUUGUAACAGAAACUUGAUUCUUCCCACUAAAUCAUUAUUAUAUUUCUUACUACUUCCUAAUUUUGUUCCUGGUCAUUUUGUUCCCUUUGACAAAGUUUCAGAACCUAAUUUUGUCUACCACACUGUUGAAGAAGUAAUGGAGUGCAUCUUAAAACAGGUAUCUGGACAUUUCCUCCACCAUCACUGUUAAGACACAUUCUUCAGCAAAGUACCUUGAGAGCAAGCUACGCCAUUACAUGCGUCCGAAGUGUCAUCCCAUUUUCUUUGAUUCCACGAUCAACUCACCAGGCACAGUAAGACUGAAUAUAUAUCAAGCUUUCCUCUUAUGUGCAAUGAAGUUUCAUUGUUAUUUCCGGAGCAUGCCUGAUGCCAGCAUUAGGAAACUGGAGCUACUGCAUAUAAUUAAGAGAACUUUCAGGUACCAAAUUAUCUUCAAAUGUUUUAUAGUAAUGUGUAAAUGGUGCUAGAUUUUAUUAUUUAUUGACUAUUAAUUAACAAAGAUUUAGUAUCAAAUGUAUUGGAAGUUGCUACUGUCUUUCCUCGUGAUUUCAUUUUUUUGGUGAAGCAGGUAUAUGCAUAGCCUCAUCGUCAGGCGAAUCCACGACGUGGAGCUGCAAUACAAUGUACGCCCAGUUCUGAAGCUUAGGCGAAAAGAAACCAUGUGGCUCGGCCUAUCAGCAUACCUUCGAGUGCUUCAGAAGAAGCAAUCACGUUACAAGGAUUUGUUGGCAUUGCUGAGAGAGGAAAUUCAGAGGUGUGGCCAUCUGGACCAUCACAAUGAUGGUUUGCGCUAUGCUGUGGAUGACUCUCACUCGUCAAUGUUCUGGAAAUUUAAGUUUUAGAAGGAAACUGGAGGGUAACUACUGCUUUGUGUGAACGGGAACCUUUUGUGUCCAAGUGACAGACGAGUGGCAUCAAGCAUGAUUGUGACUUUUAUUCGAUAUACUCCUUCCAUUUCCUCCACCAUCACUGUUAAUGCAGUCUUUAUGAUUUCUAUUUUUUCUUUUAAUUGGGAGUUUAAGAUUUUGGAUGCAAAACGGGAAAGGUAAAGACCAACAUAGGCAGAGCACUUAGGUUGCGUUUGGUUGCAUUUAUUAGUCUGUAUGCAGCCUUGUACAGUGCAGCUAAUCUGUGUUUGGUUGUAUGUAUAUGCUCUUAUAUAGGCAUUCAUCAUAGUGCUUAAGUUAGGCCAAAUGUUGUACUAGUGUGCUAGAAUAGACCGGAUUAGGAAUUGGAAUCCUAGAGGACUAGGCGUCACUGAUGCAGCACACAAUAAUUUUUCCCAAUAAUUUUGGUUCUGGGAUGCUUGUUGUCCGAUUCAUUCUAGAAUUCGAUGAAGUUGGUAUGGUCCCAGAGGAAGCCCCCAACCCUGAAGAAGCACCAAGAUAACCAGCACUAAAUGUUCAAAAGGUUAAUGCUGAUGCUAGUGUUUUGAUAGUUGAACGAGAUCCAGGUUUUCGUCGGCAAAUUUGGGAGUGUCCUGUUAAUAAAAGAGACCAACUUCACAAAGUAUACAUUAUGCAUGGUCCUUUUUAAUUUCACAUGGACAUAUCCUGCUUCUGGUCCAGCAAAUCAUAUCCUGGAUACAUAUCCUGCUAAUAAAAAGAGACCAAGUAGACACAUAUCUUGCUUCUGGUCCAGCAAAUCAUAUCCUGGACACAUCCUGCUAAUAAAAAAGACUGAGUUCGCAAAGUAUACAUUAUGCUUUUCCUUGGUUAGAAUAUUUACCUUCAAAAGUUGAGCCUUGUGUUUCCUUGUGUUCUAUUUUAUAAGGAGCCAUCUGGAAAUGCAGGGUCAGAUAUAUUUAUAGUGAAAGUAUUUAAAAUUUGGAGAAAAAAAGAAUGAUGGAGCUAAUCAUUCUUGGUUCACAUGGGAAAUGAUAGUAAAUCUGCUCAUAAUUACAAUAUGAAGUGUUAUGAUAAUUUGAAGAAUACACCAGGCCAUAUUGAGCAUGUAGUGCAGAGACAAACAAAGAUAUCAAGCAUUUGCGUGGACAUAUAUUGAUGCAGUUCGAUGGUUAGCAUUUCAAGCUUGCCCUUUUGGAGGAUAUGAUGAAUCAACUACCUCAAAGAAAGUUGAUUCAUAUAAUGAAGAGGUCAAUGCAGUUGGCUGCUGGUGCUGUUAAAUUGAUGAUGUCAUUUGACUUUGUAUUUAUUUUACAUCUGGUGAAAGAGUUGAUGGGAAUCACAGUUCUUUGCAGAAAGUUACAACAGAAAUCUCAAGAUAUGAAUGGUUGGAGCAAAAGUUGAUUCAGAAUCUAAUGAUUGGAGCAGACUUAUCAGUGAAGUGACAACUUUUUUAGUAAACAAGGCAUUACUGUUCUAGAUAUGAAUGUGUAAUAUGCUAUUUUUUUCAGCCUCGUUCUAGUAGUGAGACAACAGUUGGGCAUCAAUAUAGAUAUGGUGUUUUCAUAGUUGCAAUUGAUCAACAAAUGCAAGAGCUAAAUUCUAAGCUCAGUGAACAAGCAACUGAGCUUCUCAUUUUGUGUACUAGUUUGGAUCUUAAAGAUGCAUUCAGUCAAUUCAAGAUUGAUGAUGUGUGUUCUUGAGCUUCAAAGUUUUAUCCUGCUGAUUCUUCAGAGCAAGAAAGAAUUAAAUUGAGAUGUCAAUUACAACAUUUAUGAACUUGAUGUGCCUACCAAUCCUGCUGACUUUUCAGAUCAAGAAAGAAUUAAGUUGAGAUGUCAAUUACAACAUUAUGAGCUUGAUGGUGCCUACUGACCCAAAGUAGUUUCAGAAUUUAGCAAGUGUUGCAACGAAGCUCUUCAAGACACGGCUUCAAAAUAAAAUGAAAGAUGCAUUUUUUGAGAGAUUGUUUAUCAAUCUACAUUGAGAAAGAACUUGCAGUAUAAUUCACCACGGAUAUCAUCAUAGAUGAUUUCUAUUCUACGAAGACAUACAAAUUGAGGCUCAAAUGAAAAAAAAAAAGGUAAGCUGCAACUGGCUGGCUUGGUCGCGGAAUGCAAUCGGGGCCGCAUAUAGUACCUACCCUGCCUGCCCAGGCCAAGAAUCGACGGUCGAUGGAGAGUGGAACAGCAGAAGCUAUCACGCAACAAAGACGGCAAGUAUACUAGUAAUCCAUUCCAAUCCUUUUGUCUGCACGAGAAAGCGACCAACCUCUGUGUAGACGACGUGGAAGCAGAGGAGACGAGAGAGCAGGCGACGGCCGGAUACAGAGGAGAGGAGCUGAAGCAUGCACGGGGGUAUCCAUCUGUUGGUGUUGGUGAUGGUGCCACGGGACAUGCGCACAGCAGGAGCUGGAACAUGGAGAGGCACAGGACAGGGCAGAGAAAGAGAGAGAGGUAGGUGCCACGGGUGGUCCGUGUUCGUCCUCGUUGCUCCUGGCCUUUUUUGUUAUAAUUCGGGUGCUUUCAUUAAUCACUAGGUCGUAGCUAACCCCGUGCGUUUACUGCAGCAAUUGAAGAAUUUGUUUUCUCAUAGAUUAAGGAUAAGAAUAGAUAUAUUGGUGUGCCAGGGGAUUGUAGAGAUUCUUUUUUAUGGAUGUCUAGUCUGUUCGUUUGUCAUGAAAAGCCAUGACUAGAAGUAUUGUUCACUAAUUUAUUAUGAGAGAAAAAUAUGUAUGACUAAAUACUAUAAUAUUCACUGCACGAAACUGGAAUUGCUUUGGCGGUCUCAAAUUUUCUUGGGGGCCAAAAUCAAACUGCCAAGGAAAUAAUAGUUUUCUUGGCAGUGCUACUCCACACUAGUUUAAGUAAACCGCCAAUUAACUUAACGGUUCAUGACAAUCAAGAAAAACUAUAAUUUCCUUAGAGGUGAAGAGCAGCCAAAAAAACAACAAUUACCUUGGUGAUCUAGAGUGUUUUUUUGGAGGUUGUCAACCCUCAAGAAAAUUAAUUUACUUGACGGCUGUUGACCCUCAAAAGAACUUUUUUCCUUGGCGGUUGUAACAUUUUCUUGGUGCUUUGGCAAAUUAAGUCUGAUUAUAGUUUUCGUAGCGGCUAGCCUUCAAGGAAAUCAUCCUUGAGUGCUAGAACCGCCAAGGAAACUAAUUUCCCUUAGCUUCUAUCCUUGAAUGUGUUUGUUUGACAGUUUGUGGUCAAGGAUCAUUUCCUUGGCGGUUUAACAACUUUUCUUAGCGGUUUUUGGCAUUUAAGACAAUUCGAGAUUGUGGUAGUGAUUUGGCAUAUGAUUUUGACAUAUUUUACUGGAGGAAGCGUCUGGUUAGAGCAAUCCAUAGAUAGACUUAUAAAAAAAAUUAAAGCUGCAAGUAGUAGGAGUGCUGUAAUAAGGAAUGUAGUUAAUCUAAGGUAGAAAUACUGUACAUAGGGAUCUGAUAGUGAUCCAUAUACAGUAGUUCACAUAGUAUACAAUGCCUUGGGAUGGCUCUAUCUUCUAGAAUUCUAGCGAUAGGCACGUGGUGACCAGCAGGAAAGUAGAUGUUGGCCAUAGCGUCGAUGUAACAGGCUAACAACGCACCUUAUUAAAGUUGAUGCAGACAUGCAUGACCAUAUGAAGGAAGAUUAACACAUCACGUGAUCACCCUAUAUAUGCAUGGUCUCCAUGCUGGAGAUGUACGUAUGGCCUGCAGAUGCAUGCUGAUCACUGAGAGCAGUGGGCUUUUCAAGCAACUGGAAAUGAGUAUAGUGGGCGCAGGUCCUGCUAAUAGGAUCACCAUUAGAUUGAUGAUCACCAUUAAUGCGUCGGUUUCCAAUAUCAGUCUUCCCACACCAAGAUUCAAGGCUGCUUUGGACCCCAUGUAGGCAGGCUACUAGUUCAGCCUGGAACACACUCAACAUGUAGUCGAGCUUCUUCCCCCUACCGGCAAGCACAACAUCAUCAUCAUGAUCUCUAAAGAGGAGACCCCAGCUGCCUGAAGCCGUCUCCUCUUUAAAUGAUGCAUCACAGUUUAGCUUUAGGACUCCUUCUGGAAGUCUAGUCCACCGCCUUUUAACCUUCAGAUGAGUCUGUUUUAGUGUUUUUCAGUGUUAAAUGAUUUGGUAUCUUCAUUUAGCAUAAGACCUGAUAGAACGUGCCAGCAGUUCUGAACUCCUUCGCCUUCGUUCCCUUUUCUGGAACUGCAUUUCGUUUAGACCACAAGUACCACAGCGUGAUCGCCAUUUUGACCCUGUCGUUCUGAUCUUUUGCUUUCAUGAGAUGCUUGUUGUUUCCCACACGCGGCCACGGCUUGGCUGCUAGUAGUGAGUUAGUGACCGAUCUCUCUCCAUCAUCAGUUCUUGCCACACCUGCUUGGCAAACUUGCACUUAAAAAGAUAGAUGAGCUCGUCCUCUUCUCUGCUCCUCGCCACACAUCGGUCCCCUUCUGUAUAAGAUUGUGUCGGAGGGGAUGGCUGUCAUAACGCCAUAUAUAGAAAGUGUCUGGUUUUGCCUGGACAUUUCAUGUCCCACAUUUGACGCCACAACGGAUUAAUUUCCCGUUGGAUUAGGACCACUGCUGCUCCCUCCUUGUUCACCCUCCCCGUACUCUACUACGAAGAAUAUCAUGCCGACACAUCUUGUACGCACUGGGAGAACACUGAAGCAGCCAAACUUAUCGAGGUACUAGGCCAGUUGUUGUCAUUGCCUUCGAGGACAGGCAGAGCAAGCUAGGAUAAUGCGGGCGUCUUCUUCCCAAAAAGAUGUCCUUGAUUAGUUAUUCAUCCCACGAGCCCGUGAUCGGAUUAAUUAUUAGCUCAUCUACAUGGGUGAGUAGGAUGGUACCUUUAGGGCACUCCCAAUGCAAGACUCUAUCACAGAGUCCAAGACAAUUAAUUACAUAUUAUUUAUGAUAUUUUGCUGAUGCGGCAACAUAUUUAUUGAAGAAAGAGAUAGAAAAAAUAAGACUCCAAGUCUUAUUUAGACUCCAAGUCCACAUUGUUCGAGGUAAUAAAUAACUUUAGACUCUAUGAUAGAGUCUGCAUUGUGAGUGCCCUUAGGGAUAAUUGGUCUCCUUGAGCAGUCCCUUGGAAGCCAUGGAUCUGCUCAAAUCUUUAAAUUUCUCCAUCAAAUCUCCAUUUAACUCUAAUUCUGUAUGAAACUAUAUUUGUGUGCUUUCCAUUAUCAACUUAAUCCAUUGCUACACAAAACCCAUUCUCCACAGCGUCGCUUCUAGAAAAUUACAUUCAACGCAAUCAUAAGCCUUACUCAUAUAUAAUUUGUGAGCUACACAUGACCCAAAUCUCCAUCCCUAUUAUAUUCAACAAAAAUGUGUUAAUUCAUAGGCUAUCAAUAUAUUGUCCGAGGUCAACCUCCUAGGUACAAAGGUGCCCUGAUUUGGAGUUAUGAUAUCUAGCAGUACAUAGUGUAGUCUACAAGACAGUACUUUUGAGAUCACCUUGUACACCAUGUUGCAAAGGUUUAUCGGCUGGAGCUCAGUUACUUUCUUUGAGUGUUCGGUCUUCGGGAUCAAGGCUAUGGCAGUGUCGUUCCAGCCCUCACGAAUGUUUUGACCAUUCAUAACUAGCAUAACUCUAGUUGUCAACUCCCCCCCCCCCACACACACACACAAAGUCCUAGAACUCCUUGAAGAAAAGCGAUGGCAUACCAUCUGGACCAUUAUCGAGUCCAAUGCUCAUUCAUGUGGGGUGUAACACGGGGCUGUACAGCUUCAAGAAUUUACUGCACCCUCCCCUCAUCACCACCGCCACUAGACCUGAAAAGCUAUGCAAAAUGGUUAUCAUUGAAAGCCUUCUUCUCCUCUUCAUUCACCACCCAUCCUCCUUUUUUAAAAAUUUCGUAAACAAUUUCUCCUUCGUUCAGAGCAUGUUUUGUGGAAAAACUAGUAUCGCGAUCACCAUAUUGUAACCAAUUUACAUGUGCUCUUCGCAUGUAAUACAAGUCUAUUUGCUGAUCCAAUCUUUCAACUUUAAAGCACCAGACCCAAACUGCCUCCCUCCCUACUGCUGCAUCACUGAUCGUCUCGUGUCUUCAUUUCUCUAACUACUUCUAGGCUAGACGCUUCUCCAUUUCCUCUUUCAACCAGUUGGCCUCAAACUUGAAAAGAUUUGAGCCCCUAGCCAGACUCCUAUUGAGCGGCCUCUCUAUUAUAAUAACCACCAAACCUGGUCAGAAUGAAACGUAUCCCCAUUCUUUACAAACACUAGUGGAAAUUUCUGCCUCUCCACUCCGCGUCCGCCAUUGCGCUGUCCAACCUUUCCCUAAUGUGGUUAUCCCCUUGGUCUGUUUGUUCCUCCACGUGAAAACAUCUCCCACAAACCCCAAAUCAUGGAGACCACACAACUCCAGCGUUCCCUUGAAUCGAUCCAAGCACACAUGUGCCCUCGGCAAGCCCCCUUCCUUCUCAUGGUGGAAAAGAGUCUCGUUGAAGUCCUUGGCACACAACCAUGAUAUCAAGGGUGGAUGUUGUGUUUGCAAAUCACACACAACAUCUCCCACAUCUUGAACUUCAACUUUGUCUUCGCAUCACCAUAGACCCCCAUAAAACGCCAUCCAUCCCCACCAGUCUCUGAGACCUCCACAUCAAUAUAGUACUUCAAUUUGCUUUGUAGUAACAUAUUGACACCUCUUCUAGAUCCGGACCAAAACCUAAUAAAUAACUUGAGGAAGAGAGGGACAAUAAAGAGCAAAUAACAGCAGGUAAACACAACAACAAUAAACAUGUGGGACACAAAAAUUUAUUCUGAGGUUCGGCUCGCCACUAAGGCUUGUGUACAUCCUCAUUGUUGAGGUGACCACUAAGGUUGGAGUCUUUUCACCUCCUUGAAUCUCGCAAGCAACCACAAAGGUAAACUUGAGUUCUUUACUAGAAAAUUUAUGGUGAUACAAAACUUUCUAAAGUUUUCCUACAAAUUGGGAGCUCUUGGACGACGUCUAGCCAGUUAGGGGCAAAGCUCCAAAAGUAACAAAUGCAAAUCCAACCAACUUAACGAAGAAAUCAAGUGCUCAAGCUUAAAUCGAUGUUUCUCUCACCAAAUCUCUUCUCUCAACUCAAUCUCUUGCAAGAUUUGGAUCUAGGAGCAAAGAGGAGAUGAGAGGGUGAGCUUGAGAACACUUUUACUGAAGGUGUUGUCAAGUGAAAUAAGUGGGUAACAAUUAGAAAAGAGGAGAGAGCUAUUUAUAUUCUUAGCUGAAAUCCAACUGUUCAGAUCUAAGCUAAAACUUUUGUCUCUAUACCAAAACACUAUUCAUAUGUAAGUCCACUGGGCUUGCUUGCAAAGGGAGCUAGAACUUCCGGCAGUUGCCCGAACUUCCAACAUACGAAAGUCUACAAAGAGCAACUAAGUGUUUGUGAGGUGAUUUUAUGUCACUCUCUUGAUUUUUAUUAUUAUGCUUGAGCACUCUAUCUUCCUCAGACCAAAUAAAUUUACAUCUCUUUUUAUAGUGCGGCAUAGCCUAAACUCAAGAUCAAAUAUCAAAGAAUUUAAAUGUCUUUGAGUCCAUCACCGCAUCCUUUUGUAAAUUGGGCUCCACGAUCUUAUGUAUUAUCCUCAUUCUUAUUUUACCUACUUGUCAUCUUGAUAAAUCUCAUUAGUCCUCUAAUCGUAUGAUCAUUAUCAUCAAAACCUAUAAUUAGGACUUGACUGCACUUACAAUAUGAGACUUGCGAGAAGGUGAAGAGAAAAUGGUUGUUGCCAAGAUCCUUGCAUUCCAUGCCAUCUCCAGGGCACCAGAUCCAGCCAAGGGCCUCAACCUUGAUCGCCCUUUCUGUCAGCACCUUGCCCACCGCCGGAAGAUCCUUCGAUCUACUCUCCAAAACUGAACUCCCCCACCACCUUAGUUUCAUUAUUCUCCUUCUCGGACGGCCUCAAAGUUCUCCGUCAAGCCCUCCACCUUUUCUGAUACAAAAAUGGUCGCAUAUAAAUGAGAUGAAUACAAUUAUAAUAUUUAUUUAGAAUCAUCGAUAUAAUAGGAUAUGUACAGUAAUGCAAUAUAUUAUGUCGCUGAUUUUUUUUAGAAUUACAUUGUACAAUGUAGACGUCAAUACAUAGCCACACUCACCUAUAUGAACAUAUGUAGGUAAACCCUACCUCUAGAAGCACCUUGACUGAUAGGUCUCGACCGUGUUGUUCGCUUGACUGAUAAGUCAUGACUAAAAAUACUGUUUGUUGAUUUUUUUAUAAGUGAAAAAUACUGCUGAAUAGCUGACAGAUUCAGCAGAUAAGUUCAAACAAACUGACACACUUACUGUUGUCAGAGAUGCCGCCUAUAUUAAAUUUUAAAAUAAAUUCGAAAAAUACGAGCACCUGCUUUUUAAUAUAUGUUAAUUAUAUAAUAUUUUGUUAGCUAGAACAUUUUUUAAAUCAUAUAUGUAUGUAUUUUUUAUACACAUAAGAUUUUGUGUAGAUAAUAAAUCAAAUAAAGGCCCCAACACUUGCAGGAAGCCGGACAUGCAGCUUCGAAGAAACGAGUAGUGCAAAUGUAUCCCGUACGUCCUCCUCCGGCUCUCUGCCCCGGGUACAAUGGCAGCGAGGCGACGCACGCGAUCGGGCGAGGGCGAUCCCACUACUACACAACUGUUAACAGUGACGGACACUUUACGUUUACCACAGCGGACAUUGGCGUCCGCCACGAAUGGAAGGUCACGGUUAAUCGUGGACUCACCGUGGCGGGCGCCUAUGCCCGCUGCGUAAAAUGGAAUUACCGCAGCAGGCAACAUAAGGUGUCCGCUGCGGUUAAUCUCAUUAACCGCAGCGGGCACCUUAUGUUGCCCGUCACGGUUAAUGAUUUAAAAAAACAAAAAAAAUCUGGACAGGCCCGCCGAGCCCAUCCAGAGGCCCGACGAGCCCAUCAAGGAAACCCUAGCACCGCCGGUAGUUGACGGUGUACCAGUGCACGACGACCUUGGCAGCGGCGUAGGGGGAGCGCGGGUGGAAGGGUGUGUCCUUGCUCUGCGGUGGCGGCGUGGAGCUGAACAUCUCCGAGGAGUCGCAUGGUAGUAGCGGAUGGGCUUGCACGAGAGGCGGACGACCACGAGCAUGUGGAGCGCCCUCGUGGCGGUGACGUCGGCAGUGUAGUCGGGGACCUCGAAGGAGAUGGCGACGUGCGACUGCGCGGCGAGGUUGUAGACCUUGUCGGGGCAAAUGGCGUCGAGCGCGCAGCGGAGGGACGAGGAGUCGGAGAGGUCAGCGUAGUGGAGCCGCAUCGGGGGCCGCGGCGACGACGACACCGCGUGCAGGUCGUGGUAGAUGUGGUCCAGUCGCUGCGUGUUGAAGUUGGAGGAGCGGCGGAUGUGGUCCAGCACCUCGUACCUCUUGGAUAGGAGCAGCCCCGUGAUGCUCGUGAUCAGCGCCACCUUCCGCGCCGGCGCAAGGGCAGUGGCGGCCGCGUUGUUGGAAUGAGCCAUUUGGGAAGCGAGGGAGGAAGGGGAUUGCAAAUUUGGGGUAGAGGGUUGGCGGUCAGAUCUGCUCUCGCAGGGGGAUGGAGUAUUUAUAUGACCCUUGCUAUCGGGCCACUGGUGGGUUAUUUGGGCUUCGAAAUUUACUGUGACGGGCAUGAUAGGUUGCCCGCUGCGGUAAAUCAAUUUACCGCAGCUGACAUCUUAAUAUGUCCGUCACGGAAAAUAUAUAUUUACCGCAGCGGGCAAAAGUGUCCGUCGCGGUUAAUUAAAAGUGCCCGUCAUGGUAAAUCAUGAGAUUUACCGCAGCGGGCAAAAAAAACGCCCACCACGGAGUGAAUAGUAGCAACGUCACGGAAGUUCGUUUCUGCAGUAGUGUCCUCCUCCGUUUGCUUGAUGUUUAUUUUUGCUGAAUCUAUUAAUUAUUUAGUAUCGUUUUUUUGUCACAAUAAAUUAAUAAAUAAUACUUUCCACUAUAACUUUUUAGCCAAGUAAUUAAAUAGGACAUGCUUAAUUGCUUAUAUUAUCUUAGGGCAGAUACGUACAACACGCCCGGAAAUGCUGUUUGUAUGCAGCUAAAAUUUUGCUAAAAACCUGUUCAGUGUGUGCAGCAAUUAAAGAAGAGAGAGAUGCGAGCCAUGGUCGUCGACGACGAACACGCGUGCUCCCGGGUACAUUCGAAGCGGGGUUGUUUCGGCACACAGGUUUCUUCUUCGGCACAUGUCGAGUGCAGCGACGCCGGCUAAUAGGAAUACGGGAGUAGCAAGGCGUAGCAAUGGCGAUGCCGGCAGGAAAGCCACGGAGUGUUGACACGACGGUUCUAUCUCUCCUUAUUUAAUUAUAUUUAGGAGAGUUUGGCUCAUAAGUUAUGAUUAAAAAUACUGUUAUCUGAUUUCUUACAAAAUACUGUUAAUAGGAUAAUCUUAAGUGAACAAGCUAAGUAGCUGAGGAUAAUAAUUGGCGUUGUACGUGCCCUACUUUCAUUUCGCCUCGGUCGGAAGCCCCUAGGCGGCUAGGCCCUAGGGUUUGAACGGUACUGCACCCUCUCCCUUACUUCUGGUGAGAGUAGCACGUACGGGCGGCCCGCGUUCGGCUGCGUGGCCUGCGUUCCUCCCCGUCGCUCCUGGUCCUGCCUUUUGGCUGCCCGUCUCACUCACCAUUCACCACUGCACUGCCCCAUCUUCUAUUGUAGUACUGGAGUACUAUGUAUAAGGGACGAAUAACAACUAGCCAGCCAGCAGCCACAGGCCACAGCAUACGAGACGGAGACGAGACGAGAGCAGAAAUGGAAGCAGCAGCAGCUGCUGCUGCCAGCGGCGGCGGCGGUGACCUGGCCCUACUCCCCGGCGUCCUGCUCCUCCUGGCGCUCUCCACCUUCGUCGUCAUCUCCAGAUGGAGCAACCGCAGCAGCAGGAGGCUGCCCCCGAGCCCGAUGGCGCUCCCGCUCAUCGGCCACCUGCACCUCAUCCGCCCGCCGCCGCACAGGGCCUUCGACCGCAUCCUGGCGCGCUACGGUCCCCUCGUCUACCUCCGCCUCGGGCCCUCCACGCACUGCGUCGUGGCCGGCACCGCCGACGCCGCCCGGGACCUCCUCAAGCACGAGGCCAGCAUCGCGGAGCGUCCGCUCACGGCCGUCACGCGCCACCUCGCCUACGACGACGCCGGCUUCGCGUUCGCGCCCUACGGCCCGCACUGGCGCUUCAUGAAGCGCCUCUGCAUGUCCGAGCUGCUGGGACCGCGGACCGUCGACCAGCUCCGCCCCGUGCGGGAGGCCGAGCUGGCCGCCGUGCUGGCGGCGGCGCGCCGCGCGGCCGACAACGGGGAGGCCAUCGACGUCAGCCGCCACCUCAUCAGCAUGUCCAACAACGCCAUCAUGCGCAUGGUGGCCAGCGCGCUGCCGGGCCACAUGACGGAGGCCGCCAGGGACUGCGCCAAGCACGUCGCCGAGCUCGUCGGCGCCUUCAACGUCGAGGACUACGUCGCGCUCUGCCGCGGCUGGGACCUGCAGGGGCUCACGCGGAGGACGCGCGAGGUCCGCGACAAGUUCGACGCCCUGCUGGAGAUCAUGAUCACGGGCAAGGAGGAGAACCGUCGUCGGCAGCAUGGGCAGGGACACAGCACCACCACCGCCGACAAAAACAUCAGCAAGGACCUUCUGGACAUCCUCAUGGACGCGGCGGAGGACGUGAACGCCGAGGUGAAGCUGAGCAGGGAGAACAUCAAGGCGUUCGUGCUGGACAUCUUCACGGCGGGCUCCGACACCACGGCGACGAGCGUGGAGUGGGCGCUGGCGCUGCUCAUCAACCACCGUUCCUGCAUGGACAAGCUGCGCGCGGAGCUGGACGCCGUGGUGGGCGCGUCGCGGCUGGUCGGUGAGCAGGACGUGGCGCGGCUGCCCUACCUGCAGGCCGUCUUCAAGGAGACGCUGCGUCUUCAGCCGCCGGCCGUGAUCGCGCAUCGGGAGACCAUCGAGCCGGUGCACGUCCGGGGCUACGUGAUCCCGCCCAAGACCUCCGUCUUCUUCAACAUCUUCUCCAUCGGCCGCGACCCGGGGUGCUGGGAGGAGCCGCUGCAGUUCCGGCCCGAGCGGUUCAUGCCCGGCGGCGAGGGCGCCGGCGUCGACCCCAAGGGGCAGCACACGCAGCUCAUGCCGUUCGGGAGCGGGCGCCGCGCAUGCCCCGGCAUGGGCCUCGCCAUGCAGGCCGUGCCGGCGUUCCUAGCCGCGCUGGUGCAGUGCUUCGAGUGGGAUGUGCCCGUCCCGCCGGGGCAGUCCAAGGCGCCGCCCUUGGACAUGGAGGAGCAAGCGGGGCUCGUCCCCGCCCGGAAGAACCAUCUCGUGCUCAUCCCGACGCCGCGCCUCAAUCCGCUGCCGGCGAGAGCUGCCUAGCUAGCAUCGCCGACACGUACAUGCGGAUGGAUGCAGUCUCGGCUCAGAUGUGUCCCUUUCCUCUCCACGAGGGGGCAAGAACCUUUUCGAUCGCCUUUAUAUUACGGCUUUAUUUACCACUCUGUGUGUGUGUGUGUUACUUACAAACCGGCACGUUUAUGUUUCUGUUUAUGUAGUAUAUAAUAUACUAUAUUUCACUGUGACACAUGCAGUUCGUUUGCAAUUAUUGAGGAUAAGAAUCAGAUCACCCAUGGAACCAAACACAAACAAACGUUGCCUGCAGCCAAAUAGUAUGUAGGACAGAUGCAUCUACUUUUGUUGUGCACGGAUGAAUACUCAGAUUCAAAAAAAAAGGGAACAUACUGGAUCAUGGUCGUCUUUUUUAAAUAAUUCCGAGUAAUAGUUUUUGGGUGUUUAGGCACAAGCUAGAGAAAAACACUGUUGGCUGCCCGAAAAAAUACGACUUAUAAGACAACAAACAGAGUCCUAGCAUAAAAGCAUUAGUUGAAACCAGGGUUCAAAAUUUCGGCGAAAUUUCGCGAAUUUCGGUAAUUUCGGUGGUGGCCGAAAGAAAAAUCCGAAAUUUUAUUAUAUACUAAUACAUGUGCUAUAUAACUUUAGACUCAUAUUUUUUAUUGUUUAUAUUGCAUAUUCUUCUAUUCAAUAGAUGUGUAAUCAUAAAUCAUAUUGAUACUUGUUUAGAUCUAUUUUUUUUAAAAAAAUAAAAGCAUACUUCAUGUGCUAGUCUCUAAAAAAAUUUCGGCGAAAUUUCGGCCGAAUUUCGCAAAAUUCGGUAAUUUCGGUGGUGGCCGAAAUUUUUGCGAUAACGAAAUUAAAAACCUUGGUUGAAACUAAACUUUUACACAUACACAGCUGCUGUAUAGUACAUGUGUGACAUCCUUAUCCACGUGUAAUAAUAAUAGCUAUAACACUGAAACUGCCACGUCUAGAAAAUGUUGAGUACCACAACCGUCUAGUAAUUUUUUUUCCUUGUGCCACGUCAUUUACGUCGCUUAAGCCUCCGAUCGAUAUAUGCAUGGUCGAUCAUGGCCUGCCGCGGAUCCAGAUAGUCCCGCCAUCACGGAGAGGAGAUCAGGAGAGGACAGCCAGCACCGGGCCGGCGGGGUCGUCCAGGAACUGAAGAAGAGGAACCUUGCAUUGUGCAAUUUGCAUAGCAUAGCAGCAGCUAGCCUGUGGUGACCACAACCAGACCCAGCUGUUGCCAUGGCGCAUGCACGCGAACGAGACCUCCGAUUACGGCCUUCCGUUCCGGGCCGGGGACCGAAACCAGUGGUACUUGCAUGGUUGCCGCGCCUACGGGCGGGGCGGGGCGGGGCGGGGACCUCCUUCCUUUCCCACGGCACGGGAUGCGCGCGGACUGACGGCGACAGGACUCUAGACGACGGGAACGGGAGUCGGGUGGGGUGGGGUGGGGUGGGGCGGACCGGGCGUCUGGGAGGAAGAAGGGGCCGCUCCCGCUCCGUCGGCCGCCGGUGAUGUGCGGAUCUACUACUACUAGCUGCGCCGAAAAGAAUGUCCAUCCACCACGCAGAAACGUCAGUUUCUUUUGGGUGUGUUUUAUUUAUAUAGCUACUAGUGCGCUGGGCGCAGGGGCCCCGUUUGGUUUCAUAGUUUUUUUAUCACCCAAGACACACGCAUAACAUAUUAAAUAUAUACUGUUUGUAAAAUAAAAAAACAAAACGAAUCUUUUAAGUCUAAUUAAUUUAUAAUUGAAUAUUAAUUAUCAAAUAAAAUGAAAAAUACUAUGGUAUUAUAUUGGCUCAGCUUCUCUUUCUAAAACAAUUCUCUAUAUGUAGAAUCCAGUGUCCAAACAUAGGGAGAUUUUAUUGUCUAGACUAGACUAGAAUCUGCUGGAUUGUAAAAUCCAAAUCCAGAAUCCAGAUUUCCUAUAAUCCCUACGGCAAACCAGACGGCACCUCACCUUCGUACUCUAAGGCGCGGAUGAAAUUUUUUAGUGUCACAUCGGAUGUGUCGGAAGGAUGUCGGAAAGGGUUUUUAGAAACUAAUAAAAAAGACAAAUUACAUAGCUCAUCAGAAAACUGCAAGACAAAUCUAUUAAGUAUAAUUAAUCUAUCAUUAGCGCAUGUAGGUUACUGUAGCACUUAAGGCUAAUUAUGGAGUAACUAGGCUUAAAAGAUUCGUCUCGUGAUUUUCAACCAAACUGUGUAAUUAGUUUAUUUUUUUUAUCUACAUUUAAUGUUCCAUGCAUGUGUCCAAAGAUUCGAUAGGAUGGAUGAAAAUUUUUUAGGUAAGUAACUAAACAGGGCCCGAGACUUUGGGCCUUGUUUAGUUCCCACCGAAAUCCAAAAAGUUUUCAAGAUUCUCCGUCACAUCGAAUCUUGCGGCACAUGCAUGAAGCACUAAAUAUAGAUGAAAACAAAAACUAAUUACACAGUUUGCCUGUAAAUCACGAGAUGAAUCUUUUGAGCCUAGUUUGUCUGUGAUUGGAUAAUAUUUGUCAAAUAAAAACAAAAAUACUACGGUACCGAAAUCUGAAAUCUUUUCGGAACUAAACAAGUCCUUCACGACGCAUGCAACAUACAGUAGGACGGCUUGGCACAACAGCACACGUGUGCUGCAGCGAAGUUGACAUAUAUGAUGCUUUUGACAUAUAUGAUGCUUUUGACAUAUAUGACGCCUUGUUUAGUUUUCCAAAAAUUUUGCAAAAUUUUUCAGAUUCCCCAUCACAUCGAAUCUUUAGACGUAUGCAUAGAGUAUUAAAUAUAGAUAAAAAUAAAAACUAAUUCUACAGUUUAGUCGGAAUUGACGAGACGAAUUUUUUAAGCCUAGUUAGUCUAUGAUUGAAUAAUAUUUGUAAAAUACAAACGAAAUUGCUACAGUGCUCAUUUUGCCAAAAAAUUUUGGAACUAAACAAGGCCGUCGACAUGACAUGGUGGUAUCAUGGAACAGAGAUGCAUACAGUGCAGACCCUCGUACUGUACAUAGGAGUACUGUAGUGGAGUGCAACGUAGAGUACUGUAGUACUUUGUGCAUAUGGACUUCUUUACUUCUAAAAAAUUUUGCAAAAUAAAAAUAGUAGCACUUUCGUUUGUAUUUGACAAAUAUUAUCCAAUUAUAGACUAACUAGGCUCAAAAGAUUCGUCUCGUCAAUUCCGAUCAAACUGUGUAAUUAGUUUUAAUUUUCAUAAUACUCUAUGCAUACGUCUAAAGAUUCGGCGUGACGGAGAAUCUGAAAAAUUUUACAAAAUUUUUCAGGAACUAAGGGGGUGUUUGGGACUGCUCUGCUACACGUUUUUCAGCUCCGCUCCACGUUUUUUAGGUAAACGGUUUGAGCUCCACGCACUCAGUUCGAGAAAAAAAGGUGGAGUUGUGAGAGCACUUUUUUAUGGAGCUGCUCUAUGGUGAAGUUUGUGGUUUGUGGAGCAGAGUUUUUUUGAACACCCGCUAAACAAGGCCAUAGAGUAGUACGUACCAGAAACAGUUGUAGAUGGUGAGGUGGUCCUCCGCGUGUCCACAAACAGUAUAGAUCCGCUCCAGCGAAUCCACGCCAGGGGAUGAAGAGCGGUGGGGACCACCUCAUCCUGGCGCCCUGCGCGCCAGCGUCAGCCAGCGCCUACACGAUGGAGGACCUCUACAAAACAACGAGAAUAUUCGUUUAAGUAUAUCUAUCAAAUUUGUUAACACUAAAUUAAUAAAUAAAAAUAAAUUCUAUUUUGAUGUGGUGUGAAAAUGUCGAACACCGGAUUAAUAAAUGAAAACAGAUUUACUUUAGGAAAUAAUAAUGAUGAUAAUAAUUAGAAAAACUGCUUCAACAUCCGGUACAUGACGUGGGGAGCAGUACAACCGUCUACACGCACGUGCCAAUUUAGUACAGUGUUUUUUUUCCUACUGUAACAGAACGGCUUCAGGAUCGGACGCGUGUCUUGACGCUGGUCAAUUGGCCAUGAUGUGCAUGAGAUGGAGAUGGAGAUGGAGAUGGAGAUGGAGACGGAGACGGGAGUGGAGUGGCCCCGCUCUGCCUCGUUUUGCCUUUGGGCCCGGGCCGGGCACCUGCGGAUAUGGGAUGGGCCGUGAGAGGAGAGUAGUUCGCGAGAUGGCACUUUGCAAGAAGGGUUGCUACUGAUAGUGCAUCAGGACUGGUAAUUGAGUAAUGGCUUGAUUUGCUCGCCAAAAAAAAAAAGGAAACAUGGCAUGACUGAUGACUUCAUAGUAGGAGUAUGGGCGGCUACCAAUUAUUGUUCAACUAUAAACUAACUAUGCUCAAAAUAUUCGCAUCGCAAAUUAUAGAUAAAUUGUGCAAUUAGUUAUUUUUUUAUUUAUAUUUAAUGCUCUAGACAUGUGUCGCAAGAUUUGUAUGAUAGAAAAUCUUGAAAAGCUUUUAGAUUUUGGUUGCAACUAAACAACGCCUCACUGUUGUUGACUUGACGAACUGUUAUUUCGAUGACACAUUUGGGCCGACAUGUGUAUAUGGGCCUGGCCGUACAUGGGCUUUGCCUGGCCAGUGUACGCUAUGGAUCUCCACAACUUCAGUCCUCACUCACUCAGGUCACACCACACAAGCAAACAAGCAGUGGCCAGUGUACGCACAAUACAUACUUACAUAGACAGGCACAAAUCGCACCGUAAGACCCAACUCUAAAUCCUUUUUGUCUCCAAUGCUGAGUUGUUUGUUUAAUUACUAGUUGGAUAUUAGUUACUUUGAUUGGUUAUUUUUUGGAGCAUGGUGGAAUGGUGUGUAUAAUAUAAAUGCAUCCAAAAGCAAAGGGAAACUAGAGGUCAAGAGGUAUAUGUUGCAAUUAGCAAAGAUUGAUAUAAAUUGACAUUUGUGCUAUUAUAUACCUGUUGUGCUCUUGAGCCAUUUUAAUUUUAUUUUACUUUCUUUGUUAUCGACUUCGUCGUACCUCAAAUUACUUCCAUCCUUCAUCACCUCCUCGAAUAGUUUGCUAAACCCACUUGCUAUCCUUCAAUUUUUUUAGCUAAACUAAAGAAACCACCUUUCCAACAGUUUAGCAAAUGACUUGCUAAAAUUUGGCAACUUGUCAUUUCCUACCUCCACCGGCGCAUAUAUGUGCGUCGGUCUCAACUUGCCAUCUGGUUUGCCAUCCCGUAAAAGCUAGACCAGCACGCACAAGUGACGUGCUCCCUGCAUGCGGUCCAUACAACUUCACUCGUACAUGCAUGAUCUUGCAGUACAUGCAUUAUCUCAAAUGGCAAACUAUUGAAGAUACAAUUUUUUUUACUUGCCAUAUUGUUUUAGCCACUUGCCAAAUCAUAAGAUUUGCCAAGUAAUUUUUGACAAAUUGUUGGAGAUGCUCGAACUAUAUACCUUUAGGCUUUGUUUAGUUCUCCAAAAAUUUUACAAAAUUUUUCAGAUUCCCCGUCACAUCGAAUCUUUAGACGUAUGCAUGAAGUAUUAAAUAUAGAUGAAAAUAAAAACUAAUUGCACAGUUUGGUCGGAAUUGACGAGACGAAUCUUUUGAGCCUAGUUAGUCUAUAAUUGGACAAUAUUUGUCAAAUACAAACGAAAAUGCUACUAUUUCUAUUUUGCAAAAUUUUUUGGAAGUAAACAAGGCCUUAUAGUUUUUAUGUAUCUACAUGUGAUGUAUAUCUAAUAUCUAGAUAGGUACUCUCUCUAUCCCAAAUUGUAAGUCAUUCCAAGAAUCUUGAAGAGUCAAAGCAUUUUCACGUUUGACCAAAAUUAUAGAGAAAAUACUAAGAUUUGUAACGUAAAGUGAGUAAACUAUAAAAAUAUAAUUAAGAAAGAAUCUAAUGAUACUUAGUUAGUACUCCCUCCGUCCCCGAAAGAAUCAAUUCAUAGAAUCCGUGCCAGUCAAACUUUUUAAAGUUUGACUAACUUUAUAGAAAAGAGUAACAACAUCUAUAAUAUAAAAUACACAUUAUAUGAAAAUAUAUUCUAUGAUGAAUCUAAUAAUACUAAUUUGAUACUAUAAAUCUUAGCAUUUUUUUCUAGAAAUUUGGUCAAAGUUUAAAAAGUUUGACUUAGGACAACUCUAGAAAUUGACUCUUUUGUGGACGGAGGGAGUAUCAUAAUAAUAAUUAUUUUAUUAUAUAAAUUUGGUCAAACUUAGAAAAAUUUGAAUCUCCAAGAUUCUUGGAAUAACUUAAAUGGAUGGAUGGAGUAUACAGUAAAAUAUAACCGAGGGGAGAGCCGAGAGCAUCGGCCAACUGUGCACCGGCCGGCACCCCCAAGAAAAAAAGGGUGUGCGCUGGCAGAUCGGCACAGGACCGGGUCGUCCUGCACCGCGGAGGCUGCGAAAGAGAACACAACGCCGCGCAGCCGGCAGGCCGGCCGUCGCCGCGUGGCUCGUUGGUACGCCCGCGAGCCGCGAGCCGCGACCCCGCGUACACCAUGUUCCGGCCUAAUCCGGCGACGUUACUCACGAUGCGAUGCGAGGCCGAACCUGGGGACAGCUGCAGCCUCUGCAGCUGGGGCCUGUCCUUAUUUAAACCCUGACGCCACCACCUUGUGCUGCUCAAGGAGUAGGGAAUACUGAAUAGUCAGUCAGUCGUCUGUCGUCUCUACCUCAUCCACCUGACGAUUCUUGAUUCUUGAGGUGAGCUUGCCAAUUCUCUCGUCUCCCUCUUCCCAUCCGGAGGAUUUUGUUGUGCUUUCGACCUCCUCCUCCCUUAUUCGAUGCUUCUUGCUCCUCCUGCAGCUGUAACCAUAGAUCUGUGGGGGGUUUUUUUUUUUGGGGGCGGUUCUGAUUCAGAUUUAGUUUCCUGCCCAUGGUUUCUUCCCUCCCUCACCAGCAAGAGGCUGUCACUCCAAUAGAACUUAUGUACAACCUGUUCGUUGCCUCCUCCCAGUGCCUGGCCAAAGACUGGUUGGUUUCCCAACUCAUGUUUUAUUAGAUGCUAUUAGUUCAUUGCUAAGCACGUGCCCAGUUCUUUUGUUGGGCAUCAAUGGAGUAACCACAGCAUUGCUUCUCUGGCCAAUUGAAAAUGUUAGUUUCAUUCAUUGUCAGAGUGCAAUAGAAGCGGAGAAAGAGUAUCUGUGAUUAUAAAUAACAACUGUAAGUUUCAGGACAAUUCUAUUGAUUUUGUGCUACCGAGCAGGCUUGGAACUGGAUGCAUUUAGUUUUCCAGAUCUGGGAAUUUGGUCGUUUUGGCCUACUAUGCACCGUAUUUUCCUUCGGCUGCCUUGGGACUCCAAGAAAUUUAACUGAUGAUGGCCCAGAAUUUCAGCAACACACCACAUAUUUUGCCUUUGAAGAUUUGUUGAUAUAGUAUGUCAAUUAGUAUACUGAGAAGAAACUAACCAAAGUCCUGUUUUGUUAUGCUCCAGGUUGAUUUGGUGUCAUUCUCUUUUAGCUGCAACUGCAGCAGGCUGUGAUCAUGGCAUCGCUGAGUGCCGACCUUUUCUAUGACAUACUCAAGCGUCUCGAUGCUGCAGCUCUGGCAAGAGCAGGCUGUGCCUGCGCUGAUUUUCGUGCCAUAUCAAAUGAAGAGGAUUUGUGGGAAAAUGCUUGCACAUCUCUGUGGCCAUCAACAAGACAAGAUGAUGUUAGGAGCUUAAUUGUUUCUGUUGGUGGAUUCAGGAAGUUCUAUGCAGAUUGUUUCACCCUUAUAUUGAACAAGGAUGUCCCUGUGGUUCAGACUAAUGAAAGUAAUUUCUUUGCUGAAGAAUGGGCCGAGUCUGACUACUACUACUAUGAUGACAUGGAUGAGCUUGAAACCUCAUUGCCUUCAGAUUUCGUAUCUUUGAUUGAUGUAUGGUACAAAGACCGUGCACUCUACUCAAAGGUCAUAUGGGGAAUUCCCAACUCAGACAGUGCCAAUGGAUGGUUCUAUAACUACCCAUUCCGGAUAGACUUGUUUCAACACUCAGCUGAAAACAAUGAGAACAAUAAUGGAGAGGUAUUCCUAUCCACCAUCAAUGACUUACCAUCAGUGCCCUCGAUAGAGCAAGAAAGGAAAGACGGGAAACUAUGGAGGGAACUGAAUGAUGGCAUAAAGUUGAGCUGGAUCAUUGUCAACCGGAAGAUGAAACGGGCAGUGAACCUAACGAGUUGGCACCCGCUGAGUGGGCAGAGGCACUGGCCAACCGAUACUGAUUUUGUUCUACGGUUCGGGUCUGUCCUUCCGGCAAAGGAGGUCCUGCCCUGCCAGGUAGCAGAAUGCAUUCUGCUGAUGAAAUUCCAUGUGACGAGCAUGGGCAGCGAGGAGGCUGGGGAACCUUCAACACUUGCGCUAACGGAACUGAGUAUGCAGAUCGAAGACAUGGGCGGUGUUCAUCUCAACGGGCGCUGCAGCCUCCUCCUUCUCAAGGAGGCGCUGAGCUGCCACCGGAGCAGGAACUAUGAUGAGGUGCUGGAGUCUUGCAAUUUGUAUCUGAAGGCACAGAGUGAGCUGAAAGAAGAGAAGAUACGCAGUGAGUGCCGGUUCGACACACUCUGUAUUUUCAGUGGCAUUACAAUAUUUGCUGCUAUCUGCACCAUGUGCUAUAGAAAAUUUUAGAAGUUUUGACUUUCUAGAUAAGGCUAGCUGCAGAUUUAAUAAAUGUUGUAGUGAUGCACAUGUUUGAGAGCUUGUAAACACAGCCUACUUAUUAUUGCUGGUUAUUAGUUCUCCUUAGAUAUUUCAUGGGGAAAAUAAUCUAAUGUCCUCAUAUAUGAAAGUGGAAAAUAUAAAAGUCUGCUACAAAAUUCAGUUAUUUCUACUAGUAGAGUCUAGUCACAAUUGGUUCAGAAACUACAAUAGAUCAUAGUGACUGUAGCUCAUCGAUCAUCUUCCUACUCCGUUUCAAAUUAUAAGAGGUUUUGGUUUUUUUAGAUUCAUGGUUUCUGUUAUGUACUUAAAUAUACAUUAUAUCUAGAUGCAUAGUAAAAGCAGUGUAUCUAGAAAAGUCAAAAUGUUUUAUAAUUAGAAACAGAGGGAGUACUUGAUAAUCCACACCACCAAGAUGACUAGGGUGUCAAAUCCCUAGCGACCGGACUGACCUGACUUGUCGACCAUCUUCCUACUUGAUAAUCCUAUCAUAUAGUCCCAUGAUCACUGCUGGACUGCUCAGCGGUAAGCCAGUAAAGAUGAUUAAACCAGUAGAACACUGCCAGAACAAUAGAAGCUGAAGUCUUAUAACAAAAAAUAUGUUCCAUACACCUUGGUGCCAAUGCAUCAUUACUUACAAAAAUCUCACUAGUAAUGCCAUUUGCACCAAUUUGAUUUUUAAGAAAAUAAAAAAGAAACACGUGAGAGGUCAACAACAUCCAGAACGACCUCAGAAUAAUGGAGGGGCUAGGGAAUAAUAAUAUGGCUCAUUGACCUAUAUAACGCGCCCAAACCAUGUGCAGAUAAAGGGUAGCCUAUACAAGUCACGGAUAAAGCUGCUGGUGAUCAUCAGUGGAACGAAAAUGAUGAGAAUGCUGGACAGCGUGGACUCUCCUGUGGAGAGGAAAAAAGGAAUGUGUGACUCUGUGCAACGGAAGGGCUUUAUUCAUAGCCAGCAGUGUUUCAGAAAAGAUCGGCUUUCUUUUUCUGCAACUCUUGCUUCCAUCUUGGCUGACCGUAGAAUUCCUCUCUGGUCAUACCAAACACGGUCUCAAAUUCACUGUCCACCAAAUAUGUCUGCAGAAGAAAAGUGAACUUAGCCUUUGGAAUCCAUAAACAUGAGGUGCAGAAGAGGCUGCCAUACAAUAAAUUGUAAUAGAUAUUCCAAUGAGAAAACGAUUAAAAAACGUCAUCAAUUUAGUUGCAUUUGUAAUAAACCUAUAUUAAUCAUAAUACUUCAAUUAGAAAAAUGGUCACUAUUCCUGCUUCUGUUGCAGAUAACUGCUGGUUGCGGCACUAGGCCUACAAAUUACUAAGAGCAUCGUUAUCUUUGUGAGCAUUGUUAAAUCAUAAAUAUGUAUGAAACUGAAAGCAUAGAAGGAUACAUUUUCUGGAGUUCUAAAAAGAUGGGCUUGGCUGUGAUACUGAUAAGAUCUUUACCAUUUCAUUUGUUCUCCUUUUCUAUGUCAGUUUGUUUAUUUUCCAAAUAACCUUUUACAGUUUAAACCUCAUGUUCUUCAUGACUAACAGUAAUUGCAGCACAACGCCGACAAUCCUGACUGGUAUUUUCUAAAUUGGAAGUCUGAGAUAUUAGUAACUAGAAGUUACCUCCGAAAUAGGACGAAGCAAAGUUAUAAUAAAUUCCCAAAACUUACCUAUUUACUGUUUAUGGUGAAUAAGCUUGCCUACAAAUGUUUACAAGAAAAAAUGUUCUAUCUAGCAUGUUUUAUGGGGAGAGGAAAAUCAAUCCAGUAAAUAUAAUUUUUCAAGUAAAUGCUAAGUGCCUGAGCUUUAGUUGAGGCGAACUUAGGUGCCUAUUUUCUUCCUAAUAUAAAUAAAUCCACCAGUCCUCCUAAAUUGGUGUAAAAUGCGCACAAAGUUUCAUGUAUAGUUACAACAAAUACUCAGCCCUUUCACAAGGAAAUGAGGUAAUAGAAGAGGGAGAACUUUUUUCAAGGAUGCAGUGGGAAUCACAAACCUCUCUGCGCUUGUAGUCUAUCCCACUAACAGGGUCAGUGGACUUUGAUAUCAAGCGUUCAUAGCUAAAGGUCGUCUGGCCUCCAUUUUCGUUAGCAGUUUGUUCCUGUGAGACAUCAGGCUCUGUUCUGACUUCUUCAGACCCUGUUUCUAACUGAUGAGGAGAAGCUGGAGCUAAUUCAGUCUUCUCAGCAUCUGCAUCAAGUGAAGGUAUCAUCAACCUUUAAUAUCAAGCUAAGGUGUAAAAAAACAAUCACAGAACUCUCCUGGGUUCAUCUUUAUCUACUUUCUUGCAGUUACUAAGCGAAUCCUAUUCAUUAUUGACAAGUAAAACUCCAGUAAACACAGUUAACGAACUUAAACACAUCCCAGAUCCAUUUUACUCUUCCAGAGCAAAACCAAAAGGACGCAAUUUGACUAUUUCUACAAAAACAAAGUGACGCAACAUGCCGGUGCUAAAAAUAUCCAAUAUUAUUUUCCAGAAUUACUACCAUCACAGGAACAAUAUCAGUGGGAUCUUGAGGCAUGCUUCUAGUUUUGUUAUCUUCCUAAAGAAAAGGUGAAACUUCAAAUCAAAUUUAGGUUGGCAACUCUAACCUGCUGUUGGAGACGACCUACGACUGUGGCGAGGGCUGUGAGAUCCCUCUGCAGUCAAAACAUUGGACAGUGCUGCAACAGCAGCGGCUCUUUGAGACCCUUGGGGUUUUGACGAUGUAUUAAGGGAAGAGGACAAGGCAGCCAUUGCUGAAGCACGUUGAGUAUGCUCGCUGUCACCUGAUGAGCUUGUGGGCCUCUCGUCUGACUGAAAACCCACAGGACUUGGUGGUUAGCAGAUAAGAAAAAUCGGGAAGGAUGGAGGGAAGGAAAUUAUUAGCAGUACCUGUUUUCCUUGCGACGAUGUAUUCAAUGCAGAUGAAAGAGCUGCCAAGGCUGAUGCCCUUUGAGUUGGCCCACCAUCACCUGAUGCGCCCUUAUUUCCACCCUGGAAGCAGUUAAAAAGGCAUGAAGCAGAAAAAAGGAAAAAUAACACGUAUCACUCAUUGAAUAGCAAAAGUGAACUUACCUCUGAACGCAUUCCAAAAAGAACUGAAAGUUUCUUCUCAAAAGAGUUUCCAUGAAUCUGUUUCAAGAGUGACACAUAUCAGCUUAACCGCAAGCAAAGAAAAAAGGUAUGCCGAAUAUUGGACAUAUGAAAAAAGUCCAUUAAGUGAAAAAAGGUAAACCUUCAAAAUAUCAGCUAAUCCCAUACAAAUAGAUAAUAAAUGGAACAUAGUUAGAACGAAAAGCUGAACUUGUGAAAUACAGAAGUAAACAUCUAAGAGCAUACCACGGAUCGUGUGUUAUCCCAGGAGAAGUAUGUCCUGAAGAAGCAAGGUUCAUUCCCUUCAUUGACUUUAUAGAGAGGCACAUCAGGAGAAAUACCUUCAAAGGCCACAGCAUGUUGUACGUAUUUCUGGGAGGGAAGCAAUCGUUUAUAGGAGUUGGACGAUAGUGAUCCAACCAAAAACAGAAAGGUUAACACUUAAACUUGGUACCUACCUGACCAAUGUCAAAUGCUUUCUGUUUUUCUUUUGUCUCCACACACUGACCCAUCCAAACAAAAACCUCACCGUGUGUAUCAAGUAUCAUCGUAUCUUCAGUCAACAAAUCAUCUUGUGAAAAAUUGAAAACUUCAGUAACCUGUGUACAAGUGAGCUUUCAGAAUUUUUUGAAAAAACAAGAUUAUUGGAACAUGACCAAUUUGGAUCAAAUCAAUACAGCAACACACCUCCAGCUUCCCUGACAAAUGGUGAUGAUGUUAUCGUGAUUGAAGCAAAAAAAAUGAUAAUUAAACGUUAGGGUCACUAUAAAGCAUAGAAAACAGAUUGAGAAACACUGUGAAUAGAAGGUUUGACUACUACUAACCAUUCCUAAGAGAGAAGGUAUACAAAUGAGGCUCUCUAAUAACAGCAUCAGGUGCAGCACUUUUACUUGUAUAACUCUGCUUUCCACCAAUAGAAGACCAGAAAAUAGAGCUCUCAGUGCCCUCCUUGCAAUGUUUGACAGCAACACCGGUCUGUAGGAUUAGGGGUACAGAUAAUUUAAGUGAGUAAUAGUGGCCACGGUAAGACAUGUCAAUUACUUGCAAUUUUAUCAGAAUCAAGUGCUGCUGGGGGAGGAGGAUUCAGCAAUCAGCGUAGUUCUGUCCAACCUCGUUGGAUCAUUAAUAAACCUUAAAUUAGACAGCAGUGAGAAAACACCAGUAUUUGUGCAUACAAUUAUUACCUUCCAGCAUGAUGAAUUUUUAUCAUAAAGAUCAUUCUGUUAGCAGCUUUCAACAAAAUCGUCUUUCAGAAUUGUUUUGCUCAAAACAGGUUUUCCAUAAGCUUUACAUAACACUCUAAUAGAUAAGCAGCACGAAACUGCAAAUAAACUUGAAAAAUAUGACGAGGUACUACCUCCAGCCCAAAAUUAAGGCAUUCAAACUUCAAAAAUGUUUUCAUUAUACAUUAAUCAUUUUGAUUGUCACAUGCAAUCAAGGUUCUAAAUAGCCCACUAUAGAUUUUCUAGGGUCUAUCACUACGAUAUUGUUAAUUGUUCCGCUAUCACUGCUAAAGAUGCUCUAGGUCUACUAUGUAAGACAUAAUCUGCAGCUAAACCUUUCUUGUUCUGUUAAUGAUCAUAGGCAGGCAAUAGGCUAGCCCUUGAUCACAUAGGAGUAUGGCAAUAGGCCACUCUAGUACAGUAGUUGGUAGAACCAUACAUCAGCCAUACUUGGUAGGAGGAUGAUGUAUGCAGUGUACUAGGAGUAGAUGGGGCUGUACCCAGCCAUGCCUUGUGUACCUUAUAGUUGGUACAAGGCUUGUAUAUAUAUACCAUGUAUGCAAUGAAGCAAAGGCAGUUCAAGUGCCACUUAUUUCCUGGGUUCAGGUUUCAGCCAAGACUGAAACCGUGUGUGUGAGUGUGUGCCUGAGCUCGGCUCAUCUUCUACCUUGGGUUAGGGGAGAGGAAGAGGGAAGGUGAGCAGGGUCUGCUUACCUGGUGCCUGUGUGCAGGUGCUAACAAUUGGUAUCAAAGCCGUACAAGCCGUGUGCUAGGUCCAUCGACCGGCGAUGGCGGACGGUGCGGCUCGGAACGGUGGAGGGGAGGGCUCAGAGCGUCAGCUCCAGCCGGCGCCACCGCAGGUGGAGGUGCGCGUGGUGAAGGAGUUCGGCGGCAGCAGCUCCUGGCCCAUGCUCACCCGCACCAACUACGGUGAGUGGGCGACACAGAUGAAGUGGAAGCUGCGCGCGCGGAAGUGGUGGCGGGCGAUUGAGGAAGAUGAUCGCACCGAGGACGCCCAGGUGGGAGUCAUGGAGGCGCUCAUGGCCUCGACGCCGGCGGAGUACCACGAGGCGCUGGGCGCCAAGGACACCGCGAAGCAGGCCUGGGAGAUGCUGGAGUCGCUGCGUGUCGGCUCGGACCGAGCCAAGCGGGCCAGGAUCCAGCAGCUCCGCAGGGAGCUCAACGACAUCAAGUUCAAGCCCGGAGAGUCGGUGGAAGAGUACACUCUCCGUCUUCAAUCUCUGGCCACGCAACUGGCCACCUACGGGAAGAAGGUGGACGACGAGGACCUCGUCACCAAGCUGCUGUGCACCGUCCCGGCCAAGUAUUCGCAGCUUGCCAUGUCCAUCGAGACGAUGUUGGACAUCUCCACAUUGUCUCUGGAGGACGUGGCUGGGCGGCUGCGAGUUGCAGAGAGCCGCAUCACGCCGGCACCGGAGAAGGAGAAGGCCAAGUUACUACUGACGGAAGAGGAGUGGACCGCGCGCAUGAAGGACAAGCGCCGGACCAGGGAAGGCUCCUCCAGCCGCGGCGGUGAUGGCGCCAAGGGGCGCGGGAAGCCGCCGGCGGACAAGAAGAAGAAGAAGAAGAACACCGACCCCAACGCCUGCAGGCGUUGCGGGAAGGUGGGGCACCGGGCACGAGAAUGCCCGGAGAAGAAGCCGGAGAAGAAGGAAGAGGCCCACCUAGCUCGGGACGACAGCGACGACGAGUGCGCUCUGUUGAUGGGGGAGUAUUGCGCGCUGCAGGAAGGCGAAGCAGGGAAGGCGGAGGCGGAGCAGGGGACUGCGCCGCAGGCCGUCGAGCUUGACGAGUCUCGCGCGCGCGUCCUCCUUGGAGCGGACGGUGAGGAGCUGGAGCAGAGAUGGUACCUCGACUCAGGUGCGAGCAACCACAUGACAGGGAGCCGCACCGCCUUCUCCAACCUCGACGAGUCAGCCACCGGAAGCGUGAAGUUCGGGGAUGGCUCAAAGGUGCAGAUUCGCGGCCGCGGCACCGUCCUCUUCCGGUGCCGGAACGGCGAGCACCGUGCCUUGACGGAUGUCUACUUCAUCCCUCAGCUGCGCACCAGCAUCGUCAGCCUGGGACAGUUGGACGAACGCGGCAGCGAGGUCCUGAUUCGCGACGGGGUGUUGCGGAUCAGGGACAGGGAGCGGCGUCUUCUCGCCAAGGUAUCGCGCUCCCGUAACCGACUCUAUCUUCUGGAUUUGAAGGUAGAGCAGCCCGUGUGUUUGGCGGCGUCGUGCAAGGAGGAGCCCUGGCUGUGGCAUGGCCGGUUCGGCCACCUCAGUUUCGACGCGCUGGGCCGUCUCGGGAAGAUGGUGACAGGGCUGCCGGCGAUCCAGCAUGUCAGCGAGCUGUGCGACAGUUGCCUGGCAGGGAAGCAGAGGAGGCGGCCGUUCCCGAAGACCGCCAGGUACCGCGCGGCGGAUCCGCUUGAGCUGGUCCAUGGGGACCUUUGCGGGCCGAUCACGCCGGCGACGCACGGCGGGAGGAGGUACUUCCUCUUGCUCGUGGAUGACUGCAGCCGGUACAUGUGGCUGCAGCUCCUGACGAGCAAGAGCGACGCGGCGGAGGCGAUCAAGCACUUCAAGGCACGCACGGAGAUGGAGUCCGGGAAGAAGCUGAAGGUGCUUCGGACUGACCGCGGCGGCGAGUUCACGGCGGCUGAAUUCACCACGUACUGCGCCGAGGAAGGAGUAGGGCGUCAUCUCACAGCCCCCUACUCACCGCAGCAGAACGGUGUGGUAGAGCGCCGGAACCAGACCAUCAUCGGCAUGGCGCGAUCUAUGCUGAAGGCGAAGGACAUGCCGGCUGAGUUCUGGGGAGAAGCCGUGAGCACAGCAGUGUUCAUCCUGAACCGUUGCCCCACCAAGGCGUUGAAGGGGCAGACUCCAUUCGAGGCUUGGCACGGACGCAAGCCGAACGUCGCGUUCCUACGCACGUUUGGUUGUGUCGGCCAUGUGAAGACCACCAAGCCAGGCCUUACAAAGCUGGAAGACAGGAGCACCAAGGCGGUGUUCCUCGGCUACGAGGAGGGAUCAAAGGCCUAUCGGCUCUACGAUCCGGUCGGCGGAAAGGUGCUGGUAUCUCGAGAUGUGGUGUUCGACGAGGCGGCGGCAUGGAAAUGGGACCAGGCGGAGGAGCAGGGAGGUGGUGGGCUUGGCGACACUUUUGUCGUGGAACAAAUGACGAUCCACGGCAGGGAAGAAGGGUCAGGAGGGCCAGCAACCGGGGAAGCCGGUGCCACUGCAGCUCCAGAGGUGGAGGAGCCACCAAGUCCAGCGACAGCUGGAACGCCAGUCCACUCCCCGGCGGCUGGGGUGGGAUCCCCUGCCUCGCCAGGGCCGGCAACGCCAGCGGCCGGAGACGUCGAAUUCGCCACACCACCAAGUGACUACACCGAGUUCGUGGAUGCUUACCACGACGGCGAGGAGAUCCGUUUUCGCCGAAUCGAGGGCAUCAUCGGGGAAGCAGAGGUGCCUGGGGUCGCAGCACGGCUGCUCGACGACGACCCUGAGCUUCUGCUGAUGAGCGCAGAAGAACCCUCAUCCUUUGCCGUGGCGGAACGCGACGCAAAUUGGCGGCGUGCCAUGCUGGAGGAGCUGCGGUCCAUCGAAGACAACCACACCUGGGAGCUGGUUGAUCCGCCGGCGGGAUGCCGGCCGAUUGGCCUCAAGUGGGUGUACAAGGUCAAGAAGGACGAAUACGGCGCGAUCGUCAAGCACAAGGCGCGGCUGGUGGCCCGUGGCUUUGUGCAGCGCGAAGGCAUCGACUUCGAGGAGGUGUUUGCGCCGGUGGCGCGCAUGGAGUCGGUGAGAUUGCUGCUGGCACUCGCAGCAGCCAAGGAUUGGGGCAUCCAUCACCUCGACGUCAAGUCGGCCUUCCUGAACGGCGAGCUGGCGGAAGAGGUUUACGUCAAGCAGGCGCCAGGCUUUCAGGUGAAGGGGGAAGAGCGCAAGGUGCUUCGGCUGCGGAAGGCGCUGUAUGGUCUGCGGCAGGCCCCGCGGGCAUGGAAUGCCAAACUCGACGCCACCAUGGCGGAGCUCGGCUUCGCACGGUGCGCCACGGAGCAUGCCCUGUACACACGACGACGGGGGAAGGAGGAGCUCAUCGUCGGUGUGUAUGUGGACGAUCUAAUCGUCACUGGCGCGCGGGAGGAAGACAUCGCCAAAUUCAAAGCGGAAAUGGCGACCCGAUUCAAGAUGAGCGAUCUGGGCGCGCUCUCGUACUACCUCGGCAUCGAGGUGAAGCAGGAGAAGGACACGGUCAGGCUGGGGCAGCGCGCCUACGCGCUGAAGCUGCUGGAGCGGGCUGGAAUGGGCGACUGCAGGGCUGCAGCAACACCGAUGGAGGAGCGGAUCAAGCUCUCCAAACAAAGUGUGGCGAAGAAGGUUGAUGCCACACGAUACCGAAGCAUCGUUGGUGGGCUGCGCUGGCUCACUCACACCCGGCCGGACAUCGCGUUCGCGGUCGGGUAUGUGAGCAGAUUCAUGGAGGAUCCAAGGGAGGACCACUGGGCGGCGGUCAAGCGACUGCUGCGGUACAUCCAGGGGUCUUUGGACCUCGGUGUCGUCUUCCCCAAGCACGGCGAUCUUCGGCUGAAGGUGUUCAGCGAAGCGCCGCCCAGGGCAAAGGGCGGUGAGCCAGGACUCACCGUGUUCAGUGAUGCAGACAUGGCGGGUGAUGUGGAUGGGCGGAAAAGCACCUCCGGGGUGUUCGUCUUCCUAGGAGCAGCGCCGGUAGCCUGGCAAUCACUGAAGCAGAAGACAGUGGCACUGUCAACCUGCGAGGCAGAAUAUGUGGCUGCUGCUACGGCGGCAUGUCAGGCGGUCUGGUUGCGGCGGCUGCUGAAGGAGCUCACUGGGAAGGAGUCUCAGCCGCCGGCUUUGCUGGUGGACAAUCAGCCGGCCAUUGCUCUUGCCAAGAACCCGGUGCUCCAUGACCGGAGCAAACACAUCGACGUGAAGUUCCAUUUCCUCAGGGAUUGCGUUGAUGGAGGACAGAUCACCAUCGAGUUUGUCGACACCGGCAGGCAACUCGCUGACAUUCUCACCAAGUCCCUCGGACGCCUCAGGUUUGUUGAGCUGAGGAAGAUGAUUGGCAUGGAUGAGGUCAAGGCUUAGCAGCAGGAUUAGGGGAAGAACUGUAAGACAUAAUCUGCAGCUAAACCUUUCUUGUUCUGUUAAUGAUCAUAGGCAGGCAAUAGGCUAGCCCUUGAUCACAUAGGAGUAUGGCAAUAGGCCACUCUAGUACAGUAGUUGGUAGAACCAUACAUCAGCCAUACUUGGUAGGAGGAUGAUGUAUGCAGUGUACUAGGAGUAGAUGGGGCUGUACCCAGCCAUGCCUUGUGUACCUUAUAGUUGGUACAAGGCUUGUAUAUAUAUACCAUGUAUGCAAUGAAGCAAAGGCAGUUCAAGUGCCACUUAUUUCCUGGGUUCAGGUUUCAGCCAAGACUGAAACCGUGUGUGUGAGUGUGUGCCUGAGCUCGGCUCAUCUUCUACCUUGGGUUAGGGGAGAGGAAGAGGGAAGGUGAGCAGGGUCUGCUUACCUGGUGCCUGUGUGCAGGUGCUAACAUACUAAACACCACUAUUUGUUUUAGCCAUGAAAUAUCUUUGGCAGCAUUAAUCCUGGUCGAGGCAGAAAUUCAUACCUUAGUCUAAAAGACUAUAAUAUGUGCCUCUCCAUUAGGUUAUUUACAUGAUACUGAUUUAAUAAAUCAUUGAACAACUGAUCCUUAAAUACUGAAUGAAUAUGAUGUUAGUCACAACCGUAAGUAUGUUAAUUGAUAUGGUCAAUGUUAAGUAAUAAAUGUGGAGGCAUGCUCUCCUAGAGCCUGUACAUGUAUUUAAUUAUUUAUGUUCAUAUAAUUUUGCUUUGCUAAAUGUUUCCGUGCAUAAUUGUAAUUAAUUAAAAAUUUCAUGUUUUCUAUAAAAUCGCUAAAUGAAAUAGAUUUCGCUAUAUUCUGCUAUAGCUUUUGAAGGAGCCCACCGCUAAAUAUCUUAGCCCACGAUUUAAAACAUUGCAUUCAAUCAAUAUAGAUAUGGUUAAUUACAUUCACAUUCAAAAUAUAUUGAUUUCACUGUAAUUUAAGAAUUUUUGGCAAUGCUACUUGAAGAAAUAUAGUCAGAGGUGUGACAAUAUCCUAAAUGACCAAGUAAAUAGGAAGAGAGUUGUUAUAAAAGUAGCUCAUUAGGAGAUAGCUAGGCAAAGUCGGAUUGGAGGGAGACUAGAGUAUUGGGGGAUCUGGGAUUAAUUCUUGUUCAUUGCUUUCUUUCCUUGAUACAUCUCCCUUUAUGUAGAGAGGAUUAUUGGUCCCCUAGGAAGGCUCAAUCAAAUCCUAACAAAUCAUAUCCAGUCCUGUUUCUAAUUGACCAAAAUCUAAUCAUAUCUCCAAUUGAUCCAAUCCCUCUAAUUAAUAUUAUGGGCCCCUGGCCCCCUAGCUGAUGCCCCAUAACAAGGUUAUCAUGCAUGAAAAGGAAUUAUCAAAAUUGGUUUCACUAUUCCAUACCUUCAGAAAUUCAGCAACUUUAGCAGCCCACUGUUGUUGUUCAAAAGAACUUGAAUUUCCAUUCCAUAAAAACAUCGAGUUUUUAGUUUGCAAAACAAAACAAUCCGUGGAACUCAAGGAUGUUGGGACCUAGAAAGUCAAAUAACAAUUAGUUCAAGGGAGCAAAAGGUUGGACUCUUUUAAGUUAUUUAAAGUGCAGGCCAUAAUGAGAACAUAGUGAUUCCAUCCAGCAUUUGUUCCAUACUUCAUUUCCCCAUAGCUUAGGAUUUUGAGCAAACCCAUAGAUGCAUAAGACUUGAUAUGCUAUAAGAGCAAAAGUUCUUGAGCUCGAGACUUAGUAAAAUCAACCUAACUUAUAAAAUUGCUAUGGCCCAUUUUUAAUAUGCGCCAUAGGUAAUGGAUGAUAGGCAUGACAGAUAUUGCUUAGGUAUUAUUGCCUACUUUUUCUCAUUAACUUAAGAUGUUCAUGAUGCUUAUGUGAAUGGAAGUCAAUAUAUUUCUAAGAACAGGUAGAGGUAAGAAAUACCGCAUCAACUUGAAGUGUUUUAUUGUUAUGAACUGCUGUUCCAGAAAUUCGAAUGAGAGCAACGCCAUCAGCACAAUAUGUUUCAUCUUUCAGACCCUUCUCUUCUACAAAUUUCUUAUAACCAGAACUAGUACCACCCUGCAUGAUUUGACAAAUACAUUCUGGUAAUUUCUGGAGUAAUGUUACAAAACAUUUUUCAUUUCUAUCGAAUGCUCCAAUAUGAGUUCUUUGUAGACCAGCACACAUUUAUCAUUAACUCACUAUACAUGACAUAAUCACAGUGAGCAUCAUACCUUAAGAAUAACCAUUGGUUGGAAAAGAGCAACAAAUUGUGGUGGCUCUUUUCCUUGAUAAAUACGACCCUACAAUAACACAAAUAAAAUACAGAACUCAUCCAUAGGAAAUAUUUGAUGCAUAAUAAAAAAAAUUCAAAAUAUGAAUACAGUACCAGGACAGGUCUUCCUUUCAAAGAAUUCCAAGUUGUAUUAGCUAUUUGAAAAACCGCCUCUUGAUCUUCCUAUGUAAAAUAAACAAAGAGUAACUUCAUAGAUAUAUCACAGCACAGUGCAUGGGCACUGAGUCCACCAUGAACCCUUGUAUAUGUUAAGUACAUCAAGGCUCAUAUAGUCAUAUAUUAAUUAUAGGACACACAAAUGUGUAAGGACCAUCAUUAUUUUAAACAAACGUGUGCAAUAAUAGCUUCUAUUUUGAUGUGAGAAGAAUUCAUGACAAACAGCUUUACAGAUAAGCUUAAUAAGAAGGUUUCAGUGUCACAAUUUGACCAUGACAAGCAAAAUAAGAAAUAUGCAUUCCAAUAAUGGGGGUCCAUGGAAGAUGCAAAGCAAGAAAGUUCAGUGCACUACAUCUUAUAAGCAUGUACAUAUUUAAAUGACAAUUACCUGUACACUAUUUUUCCCAAUCCAAUAAGUUAGAUAGAACUCUUCUUUUUUGUCAGCAGAAUGAUAAGUGUAGAGAACAACAUAACAGUCUCCACUGUAGAAUUUUCCAAGUUCUUCCUUUGGAAGAGCAGUCUUCACACUGCCAUUAACACACCAAACCUGAAAUAUGCACAGCUUGCUUGUGAUUUCAUUUCUACACUGCAUUCACUAUUGUACUUGGUAGGAAAAUGUGAAUAAGUUCAGCGAAACCUCAAGCUUUCCACCGCCAUCUAGCAAAGGAGGAACUUCGUCAUUUACUGGUGCACUAGUUUUUGUGAUUCCUUUGACAUCGACACCUUUCUGCUUCAACAUUGCUGAUAAAACAUAUAGAUGUUAACAGUGAAUGACAAAAGGUCAUUUGUUAAAAUACCAAUAAAUAAGUAUUGUACCUGUAACUUUCACUCGGCCUUCCUCUGUGCUGGCACUCCCUGCUGUGGUACUUACUGGCCAUGACUCAAACUUAGACUUAAAUGUAUGAUUCUCAUAACCUUGAAUAACUUGAGUUAUUCUUGCUGUCUUUGGUCUAUUUUCUUUAAUAAUGAAUUUCUACAGGAGGUAAAUUUUAGAUAGGAUAUAUUUUGAACAAGGCAACAAACAAUAAAGUUGGGCUGUAGUUUUACCUCAACUGCCGCACUGGCAGCUUUCCUCUCCUCUACCUGUGUUACCCGACCAACCCACACAAAUAGCUCAGCCCCACAGUCAAGUAAAAAGCAUUUGGUGUUCUCCAGAACUGAUUUUGUAAGUGCAGUGUCUUCUAACUUCAGUUGACCGUUAGUGAUACUGCAAACAUAACAAUUAACAGCAUACAAUAAAACUACUCGAUUAUUAAAAAAUAAAGAAGAGCAGCUGAAGAUUAGUGAGGUGAACAAUAUAGCACACAUACACAGGCCAGUCACACCUGAAGAUAAAGUAAUAGGCUUUGUGAACCAAGCAGAGUCUCGAAGUAUGCUGCGCAAUGGUAAAGUUCUACGACCUAUAAGCACUCUCAAACCAACUAACUAAUACGUACUGAAUUGCCGAAAAGAAUUCAUUUGUAAUCAGGAAAGGAACUUCUGUAGAAGUGAGCUGUGAAUUCAGCAGAACAUAUUGGAUUGCUAAUUUUGAUUCUAGCAUUAAAAAAUGUGUUUAUCAGAAAGUUGCAAGUGGUGACUGUCACCCAUGCAUAACUUUUAAAAAAAUCAGAAAAAUAUAAAUGUGUGAAUGCUUGAAUAGGUAUGGUGAGCCCACGUAAAAACCAGGCCACUCAUAGGUGUUAAGAACAAGUGUCGAUAAUUAAAAUCAGAAGAUCAAAUAUAACUAACUGUACACUCAUAAAAAGGACAUACCUGAAAAGCUUUGGUGCUGUAGUUUCAAGAACAACGUCAUCAUCACUUAUUGUUUUUUUCCCUAUUGGCGCAAAACCUCCAAAAAGGACCCAGAAUUCUCCCGAAUCUGAUUCUGCUUGCAGUUUCCCAUCAUCUAUUAUUAAGGCAAAAAAAAAGAUAUAAGUGUGUGUGAACUUGCUGACUUUUUUACAUGUAUGUAUGAAAUGAAAUUUGUAUCAUUCUCAUCUCACCAACAAUUGCAACAGCACACACUCCAUCAUGGUAUUUCUCCUUUAAAUGUUGGAUCACUUCCAACGCCUUGGCUCUUUCUUGAAUGUUGGAGUUUGCGCCGUUGAAUUGGUAUAUUUUAUUUUCAGUAUCCAAGAUAAAGACAUCAUCAUGGUUCAAUGAUGAACGAGCAAAGGGAACCUGAGUAAAGAAGUCAUCAUUAGGAUAUUGACUUAAAUAGUUCAUGAAACAUAUACUGUAGGAAGCAAGGAGGUGGAACACCAAUUAAUGCACCUCUUUAACUCUGAUAGCUCUCUUCCCUUUGCAAAUAUAUAGCCGUACUUCAAACUUGUCCACCUCUGGCUUUUUAAACCCAGAAGCAAAACCACCCUCCAUGGGUAUGAUGCAGGGUUUAAAAUAGGAAAGGAAUUUAUCAGACUCGUAGCACUGUGGUUCCCUGUGCUGUACCGCACGACCCCCAAGCAUGCUGUCAAGUUCAACCGUCUUAAUCGCGGCAGUUCCAGCUUCAUCCUGCGUAAAAACAACAGCAAUUUCGAGAAGUGGGCAUAUGAAAUGUCAUUUGUAGCAUAGAGAAAUCUAAGGUGGUGGUACAGAAAUUAAAAUCUACCUGGCUAGAAUCUUUCCCGAUCCAGAAAUGGAUGUCAAAGAUAUAAGCACCUCCUUUACAGGUGGUCUAAAAAAAGGGGGCAGAUGCAUUACUAAAAAUACAAUUUCUGUAGGGAAAUAGAAUGGUGCCUCUGGAAAAAGGAAGGGUUAAAAGCAUUUACCUGCAGAACUAUAUACGAAUCUCCACAGUAGAAUUUGCCAUAAUCUGAUUUUGGCAAAGCGACUGGCUUGAAAUCCUCGAUCCUCCAUAUUUCUGUUCCUCUGUGUUUAAGUUAAGGGGCGCAUACCCAACAUAAAGAGAAUACAGAAGCAUUGCGUUGAAUGAAAAAUAGCUAAAACACGCCCAGUAAGGAUACGGUUUAUGGCCAGCUCCUUGAAAUGCGGGCUCGAGCACCACUUUUGCAUUCGACAUUGUGCAGGGAUGGAUAUAUGUUACUUGGACACUACAGAGAGGCUCCCACCACCCGAUGGACAACAGUCAAUAGAACACUAGAAACUCAUGUGCUGCAUGCAAGAGUGCACCUAGAAGAAAAUGUAAACCAUUAGAGACAAGAGAAACCACCAGAAGUUUCAGAUAUAAACAGAAUGCAUACAAAGUAAUGUUUGCAAAGAAUAGAUUUGCUCUCAGUUUUACGUUAUCACGGAAACCAAAACGCAUGCCUGGCUGGUCUUUUUUUCCCUAUAUUUUUAUCACACAUCACAUCCAAAUUCAUCCCCGAUCGAGCACUCACGGAUGGAGCGCUAACGAUGGAUCGAUCGAUCCAACAAGCGAACACCGACCGCAGACAGACAGCUUAACUGAAGGCCGAUCUGAUCGCAUCGCAGUCACGUACGCAUCCACGGCAAGGGCAGAUCAAUUCAACCCGCGGGAUCGUUAGAUCCUGCUCCCUUCAUCUUUAAUUAUAAGUCAUUUUAAAAAAUUUGGAGACUCAAAAUAUUUUAAGUUUAACUAAAAUUAUAAAAAAAAUUAUAAAAUUUAUAAGAUUAAGUAAAUAUACUAUGAAAAAUAUAGUUAGAAUAUUUAAUUUGUAUCAUGUUAUCAUAUAAAUUUGGUUUACUCUUUGAGAUUUUUAGAAUAACUGGGAUCGAAACAAGCCUUGUUUAGUUCCCAAAAAAUUUUGCAAAAUUUUUCAGAUUCCCCAUCACAUCGAAUCUUUAAACUCAUGCAUGGAGUAUUAAAUAUAAACAAAAAUAAAAACUAAUUAGACAGUUUGAUCGAAAUUGACGAGACGAAUUUUUUGAGUCUAAUUAAUUCAUAAAUACAAACGAAAGUGCUACAGUGUCGAUUUUGCAAAAAUUUUUGGAACUAAACAAGGCCCAAAGGGAGGGAGGAAAGGGAAAAAGGAAAUGCAGAACCGUGGGAUCAUAUGAGGAGGCCGUCGAUCGAGCGGGUACCUGCUAGACGUGUAACGCCGGUCGCCGAUCGAUCGAUGGAAGCGGAGCGGAGCGGGGGGUGUAGCCUCGAGCCAGAGAGGGGAGGAAGGUGGCAGGCGAGCGGCGACGGGAAGGGGACGAGACGACCGAUCGAUCCCAGUGUGUCUCCGAGGCGACGUAGGAAUGGGGCGGAUUCGAUGGGGGUGGUGGAAGUGGAAUGGAUGGAUGUUACUACUACGCGACGCCGCGGCUUUUGCGGUUGCCUGAUUUUAGAAAUGGACCCCCUAUUUAUACGGGCGCGCGCGCGGCGAUCUGCCUGCGCCCUAUACGUGCGGUGCGGCAGCGACGGGGGAGGGACGGAUGGUCGGUGGCUGCUAGGAAAAGGUGCGAUCGAGCUCGGAGUACGAGAGGGGACAACGGAGAACGGACGUCGUUGCUACUGGCUGCCUGCGGCGUUCGUCACCACGAGUGUCCGGCCAGGGCCGCGCUACUGCUACUGCUAGUGGUAGUGGCAUUAGCAUUGCUCGCCCGGCCAGCAGAGGUACGGUACGGCCGCCGGUGACUGACAAGAUUCGGUCUCGUAGCGAGCGCCGUAUGGUAGGUACGGUGGUGAGCUAGGCCGGCCAUCAGCAUCAGGGUCCAGCUGCGGUCCGCAUGAUGCGGCCGAUAAUUGCGAGCUUUCGGUCGAGAUGCAUGGGAAGCUGCAGUGAUCGUGGAUGUGAUGCACACAGCGCACACGCACUCAUCAUUUCGACAGCUACGGUAACAACGUACGGGUUCACGCACGGGGGGCGCCACCUGACCUGACGCUUCCCCACCACCGCCCAUCAGCCCAUCCAACUAGACUGUGAACAUGGGCUGUCCUACCCGGCCAGGCCCAAUCAGUGUACCAGGUAGGCUUGGGCUCUAAAUCAUAAACAAAUAGAAAAAAGAUUUGAUGUGACAGGAAAUUUUGAAAAGUUUUUUAUUUUUGGGGUGAACUAAGGUCUUAUUUAGAUGCGAAAAUAUUUUCGAUUUCGCUACUAUAGCACUUUCGUUUGUUUGUGGCAAAUAUUGUCUAAUCAUGGACUAACUAGGAUCAAAAGAUUCAUCUCGCGAUUUACAGUUAAACUGUGUAAUUAGUUUUUAUUUUUGUCUAUAUUUAAUGCUUCAUGCAUGUAUCGAAAGAUUAGGUGUGACAGAGAAUUUUAAAAACUUUUUAGUUUUUGAGGUGAACUAAAUAAGGCCUAAACAAGACCUAAUUUUGUAUAAUAAAAUGUAAAAUGAACCUCUUUAUUGUGUUCCUCUCCUCGGAAUAGUAAAAGAAUAGACAUAUAUGGAGUGUUUCAUUUGAAGUCCAGACGAAGGAGUUACGCUUUUCAAAAAAAGUUGCAACCGAAGUUGUGAUCCUUAUCGGACGUUACGAGAGUCUGAAGUUUCGACACACGUUAGAACUUUCGACGAACGUCAAGAAACCUGGGGAAAAAAACCCUGCUCAGGUGUCUAGGGUCGGAAAAACCUAAUAAAAAACUUUGUUUGGAAAUGAUCUUUUAGUGCUGCAUAUUUGAUUUUUCCCAAACUAAAUUAGGACUCGACAAAGGAAAACUAUCUAAUGCACAGAGCUAGCACGAUCGUUUCAGCAUUUCAACUGCUCCAAGCCUCCAACUCAUAAACACACUUCCAAGUACGAAACAGACUGAGGAAAUUCCAAAAUCGGUUGUUAAUUAACUCCUUGGCCGGCCUCAUCCAAAUGGAAGAAGGUUUAAAGUCCUGAUGCCCCCGAUAAUCUCAUCAACUGCGUUCGGCAGGCGGUCCAAAUCGCCGCCGCUCCGCUCCAUCAUCCACGCGCGAAUUAUCUAUCCCUUCCCGAUUAAUUAAUCUCCGUGCCGCGAUCGUCACGGAUUCCUUCUUCCUCGUUCCAAUUCCAACUGAGCCGGUCAGCAGCUGCAGCUGCAGAGUGAGAGUGAUCGGCUACUUGUACGCGUGCGCGAGCAUCACCGUGCAGGUAGCAACCGGGGUGGACUGAGCGCGGUCCCCAACACGGCAACACGGGCCACAAUUCAGCCAUGAGGCUCUCGCCGCCGCGGCGCCUCCUCCCCCUGGCCCCCUUCCUCCUGCUGCUGCUCACGCUCCUCUCGCCGCCUCGAGCGGCGGCAGCAGCGGGCGGCGGCCCAUCCGCGUGGGUGGCGCUCCGCGGGGCGGCGGGCAGCCGGAAGGCGUCUCCGGCGGAGCAGGAAGCGGCGGCCGCGGGGCUGCUCCGCCGGCUGCUCCCUUCCCACGCGGGCAGCUUCAGCUUCCAGAUCGACUCCAAGGUUUGAGCAUCCUAGUGCGGCUACUUCCUGAGUUCCUGGUUCCUCCCAGUCCCCGGUCCCCCGCUUGUUUCGGGGCAGCAUUGGUUGACUUCCCUGUGCCCGUUUUUCUGUGCUCGCUCCAGGGCGCCGUCUGCGGUCAAUCAAGCUGCUUCAGGAUAAGCAACGUCGUUGACGGCUCGGGCAAAGGUGGAGCGGAGAUUCUGUAUGUUCCUCUUUUUCCCUCGUAUACUUGCCAUGAUGCAUGAUGCCGUCAACUUUGGCCGCGUAGAUGAUCCAUCUGAGGUCUGAGGCUGUGCUUUGUGGCUUGCCUCACCACUGUAUGGUGGGUGCCCAGCUGGCAUCGAUUCAUGAGGUUUUGAUUUGCAUAAUAGACAAACAUGGUGAUGAAGUCGCUCAUUCCUGUUCUAAAUUUUGCUCUUUGUAUGAUCGCUCCUCAUUAAGUUGGCGCAUUAGUUUGCUUAUAUAAAAUCCAAAAAAUAGUCCAGCGGCUUGGGUUCCUUAAUUGAGCAUUGAGAAUGCAUGUAAUGCAAGAACUGCAAAAAUUGUACAUUUGUUAUGACUACAUCGUGAAGGUGAAUGCAAUCACCUCUUCAUGUUUAUGCUAUACAGGAUCCAGGGAACCACAGGUGUUGAGCUUGCGUCUGGCCUACAUUGGUAUUUGAAAUACUGGUGUGGUGCACAUAUCUCCUGGGACAGGACUGGGGGUGCCCAGCUGGCAUCGAUCCCUUCUCCUGGAUCUCUGCCACGGGUGCAGGGCAAGGGAGUCAAGAUUGAGCGUCCUGUUCUGUGGAAUUACUAUCAGAAUGUCGUCACUUCUAGCUGUGAGUCCUUUCUUGCCUCUAGUGCUUCUAUUGCAAAUGAAGAACUGAUGUUUCAGCAUUUGUUCUCCUACACCCUAAUCCUACAGAUUUCAUCUUAUCAUUUUUGUCUCUGUUGACCGGACCCUUCCAUACUUCUAACAUUUAUCCAACUGGAUUUAUUUAUAAUUUCUAAUUUCAAAAGAAGUGACUCUGAAGCUUCCCACUAUUUAAGUGGAUUCCAACAUUUUUUUCUCUGACAAAAUUCAUGUAGCGUUCUAUAGACUCCUAUGUGUGGUGGGACUGGAAAAGAUGGGAGAAAGAAAUUGACUGGAUGGCACUUCAAGGAAUUAACUUGCCUUUAGCAUUUACUGGACAGGAAUCUAUCUGGCAGAAGGUUUUUAAGGUAGUGUGACAGACACAUCUACUGCAUAUUCCUGUUCUUUGUUUUUUCUUGUCCCUACGUCUUUUUGAUCUGCCUUGUUUAGUUUCCAAAAAAAUUUGCAAAAUUUUUCAGAUUCCCCGUCACAUCGAAUCUUGCGGCACAUGCAUGGAGCAUUAAAUAUAGAUUAAAAAAAUAACUAAUUGCACAGUUUGUCUAUAAUUUGCGAGACAAAUCUUUUGAGCUUAGUUAGUCUAUGAUUGGACAAUAUUUGUCAAAUACAAACGAAAAUGCUGCAGUGUCUAUUUUGCUACAUGUUUUGAGUUUCUUUUCAACCUCCUGUUGCUAUGGGGGCCUUGUUAAUUAUUGCAUUUUAUUUCAGAGUUUUAAUGUUACCGACAGAGAUUUAGAUGAUUUUUUCGGUGGACCAGCUUUCCUGGCUUGGGCUAGAAUGGGGAACUUGCAUGGGUAAGUAAACAGUUCUUCUACGUGUUCAGGAAAAAAAACUAUAAAAUAAAUGAGGCUACAUUCUCUGAUAUAGGUGUUUGUUUAUUAGUUCAGAUAGCAUGAUGAAUAGCUUAUUCUUAAAAAAUAAGGAGCCAUAUUCUUGUUUAGAAGUGUCGAAGAUGUAUCUUUAGUAGGUGUUCACGGUUUGGGAUUUUGGUUCAGUGGAACUCUGCAUUUUGCUGCAUUGAAUACAGAUUAUUAAAAGUUUCUCUUCCUGCUUGUUUCUCUCUGCAUAUCAUUGUUCCCAUUUCAUGUGACCAAAGAUUCAUUCUAACUUAAUUAUAGCAUUGACCACAACAUUGCAGUUGUUCUAUACUUAACUAGUUAACUUUGUAUGAUAUUAAGACUUUUCGGAGAUGAUCAUUUGUACAUAUCUGACAUAUAAAAAGUAACGCAUAUAUAAUUCUUCAAUUUCUUUAGCUGGGGUGGACCACUGUCACAAAACUGGUUGGAUCAACAAUUGGCAUUGCAGAAGAAAGUACUAUCCCGGAUGAUUGAGCUUGGGAUGGUCCCUGGUACGUUUGUGUUUUAUUGUCCAAAAUUACUAUUCUUCAACCUUUAAGAUAUGCCAUUGCAUUUAUACCACCUUUCCAUCCUUUUUUGGCAAUGUAUUUCUUAUAUGAAGUCAAAAGAUCAAUGGACUUUUUACUAGCAAUAUUCUAUUACUACAGUGGGUUAAAUGCUGUUUCAAGUUAUACUUAUGACGCACUACUACUUUACAGUUCUUCCAUCGUUCUCAGGAAAUGUUCCAGCUGUUUUCGCAAAAUUAUUUCCAUCAGCCAACAUUACCCUGCUUGGUGAUUGGUAACAUACUUUCUUAUAUCGUUUGUACCAAUAUUUUCUGAAAAUUUAUGCUGGCUUAGGCAGUAGUUAUGGUGACCAAGAAGUCACCAAGUCCAAAUUUACUGGUGAUCAUAUUCAUAAUGCCUCUUGACAAGUAACUUCUGUAAAUUACUUGGACUGUAGGACAUCUGGAAGAGUGUAAUGGACAAGAAGGAUUCAGACUCACUUAGUUACAAACAUUUUAUAGUUGGGUUAACACUAUAUAGGGCUACUGGCACGGUUGCCAGCCAACAACUUAUUUGUAAGGGACAAUAUAUGCAUACAUGAUCUUAUAGCUUUACACGAUAUGUUUUUAUAUCCUCAGUUUUCAAGAAAAAGAAACUGCAGUUUUGACUCAACUUCUUCGCACUAGACUGUAGAACUAGAAGUCUUAAGUCAAAAUUUGCUACAGGACACGUAACCUGAUGCCGAGCUGCCUGCGGACACAAAAAAGUGCUACAUGCUGACAGUCACUCUGUCAAUGCGAGAAUUUGCUAGAAGACACCGUGUCCAUUAAAAUAAUCAUUUCCAACCUAGAGGAGACGGUGUCUUCCAGCAAAUUAUCACAUUGCCAGAGUGACUGACAGCAUUUAUCACUUUUUUUUAUGUCUGCAGGCUGCUUGACAUCAGUCUAUGUGUCCUGUAGCAAAUUUUUGCCAAGUCUUAAACGUAUCAAGUCUGUGUACUGCCAGUGCUUAUGUGCCUUAUUUCAACAUGAAAGUAUCAGUUGAUUAGCAUUUCAUGUUUUCAGUUAUAAAACUUCUUACUGAAAAUAUCUUAUGUUGUUUUGAUUUUCUACGUGAUAUUUUAUACUUCAGGAAUACAGUUGAUGCUAAUCCUAAGUGGUGCUGCACUUAUCUUCUUGAUCCUUCUGAUUCAUUGUUUAUAGAUGUGGGGCAGGCUUUUAUCAGGCAACAGAUAAAAGGUAUAUACCUGCCAUUUUUGUGUGCAAGAUAUGAUCAUAGGAAACUUGAAUUUGUUCUGAAGUUUCUGGAUCAAAUAAAUCAAUUAAUAAGAAUGCACUUUUGAUUUAUGUUUUUGUAUAAGGUUUCGUAUUCUUUCUUUUUUGAACUUUUCUGGAUGUUUGCAGAGUACGGCGAUGUAACCAACAUCUAUAACUGGUAAGGCCUACUAAUCUGCUUCUUUGAAAUGUUGCCUGAAUGCAUUCUGUGAUUGCUCUGUGUAUCCUUUGCAUGUUGGGUCACAACGCUUAGCUGUCAUAUGCAAGGAUCACAAUUGAUUGGUUCUGUUUCUAUAAGCCAUACCCUAGUUCAUCCUUGCCUAUAUAUGUGUAACCUUUCACCCUCCAUAAUCAAUCAAUCAAUUCCGUACCAUAUUCUUGCUUACAGAUACAUAUCGUCCUGUUUAAGGUAUUGAUAGUGGAUAGUUCAAAAUUCUUGAUUUAUUGGUCAUGCAUUAUGUCAUUCUGAUCAUGUCAUUGGCUAGUGGUUUAGCAUGCUUUUGAGCAUCCUGUGUAUAUUCUUGUGCUCGCUUGCUGUUUCUAGUUUCUACAUCAUGUACACAUUGCACAUUUUACAGUUUUGGUUGUUACUUUCAGUGACACGUUCAAUGAGAAUACCCCACCAACAGAUGAACCAGCAUAUAUUUCAUCACUUGGUUCUGCUAUCUAUGAAGCAAUGUCCCGAGGUAACAAGAAUGCAGUGUGGUUAAUGCAGGUGUGCUCACUCUUCUUUUACCUUUUAAAUGUAAAAACAUUCUGCAUUUAUCAUUUUCUGUUGUGAUAGCAACCAUAUAUCCUCUAGACGAUAGUAACUUGUCCAGUUAACAAGAUGGAGUGCAGAGUACAAUGUAAAGAAAUACACCAUACAAUCUAUUAUUUAUAGUGGUUCAUUCCAUGUUCUUUUUUUUAAAAAAAAAAGAAAGUUAUGUAUUAAAUCUUACUCUUUGGAUAGAGAAAAAUCUUGUGUUUUCUUUAUCAGACAUCAUUAGAUGAACACAUAAUUGGAAAUCUUUGAACUUUACUUUGUGCUUAUUGAUGCAGGGUUGGUUAUUCUACUCAGAUGCUGCAUUCUGGAAGGAGCCACAAAUGAAAGUAAGCUCAAGUCUUGUCUUCAAUGAGUUUCACUUUGAACAGCCAAAUAAAUGUGAUAACUCAUAGAAUGAAGGUUAAUGCAUAUGUUCUUUGUCCUUUUAACACCUAUUUACAAAUGGGUUAACCUGCCCAAUUUUCAGGCACUUCUUCACUCUGUUCCAAUUGGUAAGAUGAUAGUUCUCGAUUUAUUUGCUGAUGUCAAGCCCAUUUGGAAAAUGUCCUCUCAGUUCUACGGUGUACCUUACAUCUGGUAUGUCAUCUUUUAACAACCCCUCCCUCCCAUCUUGUAACUCCAAACCAUUAUUUUGUAUUCACAUUGUCAAUUUAAAAUAUGAAUAUAAUUCCUGAUUUUCAACCAUAUUUACUGAUUGAUUUACUCAAUCUAGGUGCAUGUUACACAACUUUGGUGGGAACAUUGAAAUGUAUGGCGUACUUGAUUCAAUUUCAUCUGGCCCCAUUGAUGCCCGUACAAGUUACAAUUCAACAAUGGUAAGUGCAAAUUUUGUCCUAUGGAGCAAACAUUUCAUUUUCAUGUGUGAGUUGAAAAUCUGUCAUCUGCUGUUUCAAUGUUGAAGUGAAUCAAUCCCUCCUUUCUUGCUGGAGUUCUGUGCUCCAGUGGUGGAGCUUUUUUUUUUUUGAAAACCACAGGAGAGCUGCGUUUCAUUGCAUUAUAGAGAAGAAAAAUAGGGUGGGUCCCCAACAAGAUCCUCACUCAUACGGGGACCAAAUAUGAGUGAGGCAAUUACACACACACCUUUACUGGGCUCAUAGAAAUCAGCUGAAGCUAGACCCUAACUAAGCAGCCCUAGUCACCCAACGCCAAACCAAGCUCAAGGAGCUUCUUUGCCCCAGCCAUGCACCAGAGACUAUGCUCAUUCUUUAGCUCACUCCAAAGCAUGCUCAGCGAAGGAGAAACCCCCUCAAAGACACAUGUGUUUCUAUGUUUCCAAAUAAUCCAGGCCCCUAAAAUAAUUAGAGAAUUCACUCCUCUCCUGUGUUCCUUGCUCACUCUGCUGAUCGUCUUGCGCCACCAUUCAGCAAAACUCCGCUCGUUUUGCCGGGGAGUUGAAUCAGCUAAGUUUAAUGGGGUGAGUAAUUUGCACCAUACUUGUCUUGCCAUCACACAAGAUGUUAGCAAAUGUUGUAUUGUCUCCUCUUCCUGAUCGCAUAGGGGGCAUUUAUCCGGAUGUGAAAGACCCCUCUUAGCAAGCCUAUCGGCUGUCCAACAUCUAUUACGGAUCGCCAGCCACAAGAACAUUUUGCAUUUGCUUGGAGCCCAAGACUUCCAUAGGCGGUGCCACGGCUCAAAAGUCGCUGCACCAUAGAAAAAAGCUUUAUAUGCAGAUUUGGAAGAGUAGCAGCCACUUGUAUCUAGCCUCCAUAUGUGGCGAUCCUCUUGGUCAGUCAGAGUGAUACUCAUGAGACAAUCACAAAGCUGUAGGAAUUCUCUCAUACCGAUCCAGGAUAGGCCGCCAUGAAUGUCUCGUGCCCAUUGCACGUUAGAGAGAGCUUCAGCCACAGUACGUCUUUUGCGAAUUCUUGGCGAGACACAAGCAAAAACAGUUGGUGCAAGAUUUUCAAUCGAGCACCCAUGCAGCCACCGAUCGGUCCAAAAGAGAGUAUUUUGUCCAUUCCCUAUCUCUGUCGUGACUGCAAUAGAGGACAAAGCUAUAGAAUUAGGAUGUGUUGGGAGUUCGAGAUCAGACCAUGGACGGUCAGCUUUAGUCUUUUUCAGCCACUGCCAUCUGACUUGCAAAGCCCAGGCCAUCACUUCUAAGUUAGGGAUGCCCAAUCCCCCAAGAUCCAACGGUCGCAUGACCUUCUCCCAAGCCACCAGACAGCAGCCUCCAUUUGCUUUUUCCUUUCCUUGCCACAGAAAUCCCCUUCUGAUCUUGUCCACUGCCUUGAUGAACCAUGACGGGAUGUUGAUAGCAAUUAGCAAAUGAAUAGGCAUGGCAGAGAGGACAAAUCGGACUAAUGUUGCACGUCUAGCCCUAUUCAUAAGGGCUGCCUUCCAGCAUGGAAGUUUGUCCGCAAUUUUUUCUAUCCAUGGCAUGAGAUCCCUCUUGCGAAGCUUCCUGUUUGAUAGUGGUAGGCCCAAAUACUUGCAAGGGAAUUCUGAAAUUGUACCCGGAAGAAUAUCUUGAAUUACUCCCAAAGACCCUUCUGUACAACUGAUGGGAAUGAUAUUGCUUUUCUGAAUAUUAGUUCGCAAUCCUGAAGCAUCUCCAAACACCUUGAGGAUAUCUCUGGUGAUCUGCAGCUCCCCUUCAAGUGGCUUAAUAAAUAAGGCAACAUCAUCAGCAUAUAGGGAAAGCCUUUGUCCUGUCACCCGUGGGGAUAAAGGUUGCAACAGCCCCUCAUUCGCUGCCUUCACAAACAGACUGUUAAGCACAUCCAUCACUAAAAUAAAGAGCAUCGGGGAUAAAGGGUCCCCUUGACGAAGGCCUCGUUGAUGUUGUAUGGGUUCUCCAGGUUCCCCGUUCAAUAAAAUUCGAGUUGAGGAUGAUGCCAGCAGAUUGGCCACCAAAUUGCGCCAAAUGCAUCCAAAGCCCAAGUGUUGUAGCACUUCUAAAACAGUGGUGGAGCUAAAGCCAGGCUAAAGGGGGCCAUGAGCCCAUGACCCCUCUUGAUUCUUUAAAUUUCUUAAGAAAACACCUUAUCCUAGGUAACAACAGAGCAUGGUUUACAUAGCUUGGCCUCCUGUACAUCUACCAUCAUGCUCCAUCGCUGCUGUGCUUGUUGUUCUUCUUGAUUGAUCGUUCCAUCUUUCAUGAUAUGCAUGUGUUUCAGAACUGAUAUAUUUUCAGUGCUGUAUCUAAUCUGACUAUUUAUGCAAUGUUUGACUCUUGCUCUUCUCUAGAUUGGUGUUGGCAUGUGCAUGGAGGGAAUAGAGCACAAUCCAGUUGUUUAUGAACUUAUGUCUGAAAUGGCAUUUCAUAAUAAGAAGGUUGAAGUUGAGGUAAAUAGUACAAAUGUAAACUUAGCCUUCGAAUUAUGAUUUACUGCUAUUCUUAUUUCUUCAUCUUGGAACUAUUACAGCUGUAUAGACUCUAUAGAGUAUGAGGUGCCAUUGUAGACAUAGUUUGCACUUUAUACAUAAUUAUAGGGUACAUUCUGUUUAUGCACCACUACAUAAAUUUUAUCAAUCUAGUCAAAAGAUAACUGCUUCUGAAAGUUCUUUCCCUUCAUGUGAUUUCAGUGAGAUCAGGAUUAAUGGAAGUUUUCUGUCUUGAGUUAAAUGUUGAACUGUGUGUCAAAGAAGGAUUGCCAAAAAUACCGUACUUUGUAAUUUGUGUAGUUUCUUGGUACAUAUGCUUUGUACGACCUUGUUUACAUGAGGUGAAUGAAGUACAAACUGUGCUACAGAUAGUAUUUGUCUCUUUCCUUCCGCAGCAGAUUUGCUAUGGCUAUUGUUUUAUAAUCGUCUAACAUCUUGACUGCAGGUUUUGCUUUGAUAGUCGAUUACCAUCUAACAUUUGUCCAUAACCUUCCAGGACUGGUUAAAAACAUACUCCUAUAGGAGAUAUGGUCGAGCGAAUGCUGAAAUAGAGAAAGCUUGGAGAUAUUUGUAUCAUACAAUAUACAAUUGCACCGAUGGAAUUGCGGUGUGAUUUCAAACGAGCUCCUCUGUUGCAACUAUCCAGAGCCUGUCCCGAGUAACAUAUCCUUAUAUUUUCGUUGCAGGAUCAUAAUAAAGACUACAUAGUUGAAUUUCCAGACAUAAGUCCCAGCUCAAUUAGUUCUCAGCUUUCUAAACGAAGGGGUAUGUCAAUUAUGAGAAACCAUAGGAGGUUUUUCUUAAGUGAGGUGUCUGGAAGCCUACCACAUCCGCACCUAUGGUAUUCUACGAAGGAGGCCAUCAAAGCCCUUGAACUAUUUCUUGAUGCAGGAAGCACAUUUUCAAAAAGUCUCACAUAUAGGUACAAUAUGCAACUUUCUUUUAAGUCUUGAGAUUGUCUGUUCUUAUUUUCAGCUAUUGCCAACUCUAUUCCUGUAGUUUACAGUUGUCAAUUGAUUUAAGUGCCAAAUCAGGGUACCAAAUGAACACUUUUUUCCUUUGUUUUCUGGUUUAAUGAGUAAAACUAAUUAUGCUGCUUGGGCAUGUUAUUGCUUUAACUGAUCCUUACUGCUGGGUGAUAACUUUUACCUCAGGUAUGACCUUGUCGACCUAACUAGGCAGUGCCUAUCCAAACUAGCAAAUGAAGUGUACCUUGAUGCGAUGAGUUCGUACCAAAAGAAAGAUUCAAAUGGCCUGAAUUCUCACACGAGGAAAUUUCUUGAGAUCAUCAUGGAUAUUGAUACACUACUAGCUGCUGAUGAUAACUUUCUGCUGGGCCCCUGGCUGGAAAGUGCAAAAAGCCUUGCUAUAACUGAAAAGGAACGCCAGCAGGUAUGUUACACAUGCAUUCUUCAUCUAAUAUCUGGAUCCUAUAUCAAUCCUGUUAUUGAGGACUGAAUUGAACCUUUUUACCAGUAUGAGUGGAACGCCAGAACACAGGUGACGAUGUGGUAUGACAACACAGAGACCGAGCAGAGUAAAUUGCAUGACUACGGUAAUGCCUAGUACAAUAGUUUGUUAGUUGAUAGCUACUAGCUGUAUGGUUCAGCUUUGUGUUACUAAUGUUCUUCUCCGUAAACACCAAAUUACCAGCCAAUAAGUUUUGGAGCGGGCUACUGAAGAGCUAUUACCUUCCAAGGGCGUCAAAAUACUUCGCCUACUUAACAAGGAGCCUGCAAGAGAACCAGAGCUUCCAGCUGGAGGAGUGGAGGAAGGAUUGGAUCUCAUAUUCCAACGAGUGGCAGUCCGGGAAGGAGGUGUAUGCCGUGAAGGCCACGGGUGAUGCUUUGGCCAUCGCCAGGUCACUGUACAGAAAAUACUUGAGUUCUUGAGCUAGUCGUCGCUGCCAGAGUGCCAGAGCCUUGGAAUAAUUGUUGCCGUGGGGUAAUUGUGCACGGAUGUUACAAAUGAUUGAUUGUGUAAUUGUGUUCUUCAGUAAGUUGCCUGUUAAAACAGAUGCCACGAAAGGCAGAUGCAUAUGUUAGCAAGUUGUAGGGUUGAUAUGUGAAAUAUUUGUCUUCCAUGAUCACGUGAUGUAGAGCGAAACCCUCAGCAUUGAUUUCUUGAGCUGUUGCUGCUGCGGUGCUGCCUCGGAGCUGAAGGCCAAGUAAAACAGUGUGCCUUUUGCAUUGCAGUUGGCAAAUUUUGAGACUUGCACUGCAGACUGCAGACUGCAGGCGUACUCCGCAGAGAGGUUUAGGAUGCAGAAACCGCUGAAAUAUGAACAUCGCUCACAAGGUUCUGGGACUCGGCUUUACUUUCUUUGAAACGUAUAGUUUUUUUUAAGGUCCCGUUUGGUCCUCUUGCUAAAUUUAGCCAACUAAAAUUAUUUUAGUUACUCUUGGAUGACUAAUAGAUCUAAAAUAUUUAAGCUCUUUUUUAGUCAGUGUUUUUAGAAUUUUAGCUGGUAAAGUGAUUAAAAUUUAGUUGGCUAAAAUUUAGCAAAGGGAACUAAAUAGACGCUUAAUGUAACUCAACUUUACUAGGGAAAAAAAGAUCAAAACUACUGUGAACUUUCUGCAAAUCAAGUAGCAAGAAUCACCAUGACUCAACAAUAAUACACAUCGCAGAUUCACGUACAGUUAAAGAUGAAUGAAGAAGCAACCUAAGAAGCAAAAAGUCUUGCUCUAUGAAUGGUAAAAACGAGCAGGAGAUCUGCCUCUUUUAAAUUGAGAACAUUAUUGAGCAAAAUAACAGCUGUCAACAGGAAUAUUUUGCUCAAAUUUGCUUCAAAUGCAGCAUACAAAUAAGAAAAAGAGAAACUUCCCUGAUGUAUUAAUGGAAGAAACGAGCGAGAAAUAUGCCCCUUCUAAUGUUGAGCAAAAAAAACAGCUGUAGGUAGGAUCAUUUUACUCAAAUUUCCUUCAAAUGCAGCACAGCAAAAAAAAACUUGUUGCAAAAAAAAAAAAGAGCCUGUCAGACAACCCAUGGGCCACCCCAGCUAGGCAGGACCCAACCAGGAACGAUCCUCUACAGCACCAGACCCAGCAUCAAGCUUAAUCCUGGCCGUUAAUCACGCUCUGGCCCACAGGUCAUGACUCAUCAACCAGGCUUAAGUGCUUGCCUCCUUAUUAGUCAAGGAUGCAGCGGUACGAUCCUAUAGAACAGAUCCUGUUCAAGUAAGGUCGUGCUGCAAGGCUCCAGAGCUGAGGUUUUAAGCUGGCUCUCACUCGCCUGAGCAAGCGAGGUGGUGCUAAUCGGUGGGACUGGGCGACUGGCCAGCAAUCCCACUCCCACCCAGCAUGUUGCGUACUGGGCCGCUCCAUUCUGGUAUAUGCUCCCCUAUGUGUGGGCUUCAGGUCGAGCCGGCCCAUCGAGGCUGCAUUAGCUUUACCUCUGUUGAUGAUGCUGAUUCCUCACCUAAGCUCAGCUGAUUCCUAGUAGGUGAUUAUAGUUGGCCCUCCACAGAGCUAAGCAUAAAAAUGUUACUACUAACCAUCACAAAUCGGUGUAAACACAACAGUAUGAAGUACGUCAUAAUGAGCUAAGCAGCAAUGGGCGAUGUUGUGCGAGUGCGUCGUCGUCUCUCAUCUAAAAUCGAUUGCCUUGUACUACACCGUCGACUGGCCUGGAGAGAUCGGCGUCCAGCAGGAGCAUAGCCAAGGCUGGCUCCAUUUCUGACGACCAUCGGCACCAUGGGCUCGGCAAGCUCCGAGCAGGAGCUGCCUAGCUAUUAGCAUCUCGACAACCGCGCGCGGGCGUGCCGGGCUUCUCGUCAGGCUUUUCUUGGACGCAGAGGAGGCCGACCACAAUUGAGUUCUUAAAGGCCUUGUUUAGUUGGUGAAAAUCUUUUAUUGUAAUAAUUUUAUUUGUAUUUGAUAAUUAUUAUCUAAUUAUAGACUAACUAUGUUUAAAAGAUUCGUCUUAUAAAUUACACAAACGGUAGAAUUAGUUAUUUUUUAUCUAUAUUUAAUGCUCUAUAUAUGUGUCCAA
Molecule: long non-coding RNA, 61261 nt
Filed under: Sorghum bicolor (sorghum)
Lineage: Eukaryota; Viridiplantae; Streptophyta; Magnoliopsida; Poales; Poaceae
Description: long non-coding RNA (SBIC_LNC001585)
Source: RNAcentral